UACUCUCAUACUUGAACUGUCAAUCAAACCUCAAUCCUCUCUUUCAACUAUGGCUGCUUCCACAAUGGCUCUGUCUUCCCCAACCUUCGCCGGCAAAGCCGUGCAACUUUCCCCGGGAGCCACCGAGCUUUUCGGAAAUGGAAGAGUCUCCAUGAGGAAAACUGCUACCAAAAAAGUCUCCUCUGGCAGCCCAUGGUACGGCCCUGACAGGGUCAAGUACUUGGGCCCAUUCUCAGGCGAGCCCCCAAGCUACCUCACCGGCGAGUUCCCCGGUGACUACGGCUGGGACACCGCCGGACUCUCAGCUGACCCAGAGACCUUCGCCAAGAACCGUGAGCUCGAAGUGAUCCACUCCAGAUGGGCCAUGCUCGGAGCUCUUGGAUGCGUUUUCCCAGAGCUCUUGUCCCGCAACGGUGUCAAGUUCGGCGAAGCCGUGUGGUUCAAGGCCGGAGCCCAGAUCUUCAGCGAGGGCGGUCUCGACUACUUGGGAAACCCUAGCUUGGUCCAUGCACAGAGCAUCUUGGCCAUCUGGGCUACCCAAGUGGUGUUGAUGGGCGCAGUUGAGGGAUACAGAAUUGCCGGCGGACCCCUCGGAGAGGUGACCGACCCUCUUUACCCCGGAGGAAGCUUCGACCCGUUGGGCCUUGCCGAUGACCCAGAAGCCUUUGCUGAGCUCAAGGUGAAGGAGCUCAAGAAUGGAAGGUUGGCCAUGUUCUCCAUGUUUGGAUUCUUUGUCCAGGCCAUCGUCACCGGAAAGGGACCAUUGGAGAACCUUGCCGACCACCUUGCCGACCCGGUCGCCAACAAUGCCUGGAACUAUGCCACAAACUUCGUUCCCGGAAAGUGAGAGCUCGGAAUUGUUUUGUACUUUUGUUUGUAGUGUUGUCGGUGAUGUAAAUUUGGUACCAAGUAAUGGACAACAAUUGAUUUGAACUAUUUCGAUCUUUUCGCUUUUGAACAAUCUAUUAAUUGGUCGAAAUUCGUACCAGAAAACUUUGAAAUAUUGCCUGCUAGGGCAAAGCAAAACUGAACUGAGAAAUGCAAUUGGAAGAUAUGAACUAUGAGAUUACAUGGUUCAGAUUCACCUAAAACCUUUCCUUCAAAAGACCUCGGUGCAAUUUAAGCGAAAAUCUACCCCUUAAUAACAAUCAUUUCUAACACAGGCUACAACGUGUGGCAAUUGUAUUUGAUCCACAAUUUCUAACACAGGCUAUCUUAGACAUGUAGGGGGGAUGGGAACGAUUCGAUUUGGAAACGGAAAUGCCAUAUCCAUCCUCAUAACCAUGAAAAUUAACCAUCCUUACUCCCUAGGUAAUAGGCAGGAUCCAAAUAAAUUUGUUCCGAGUCUACGAGCAAUGCGAGCUCAGAUACUCUGCUUUUAAGAAGAAAAUGAUACAAUAAUUAGAAGAAUAAACAUGAUUUUGAAUAUUUAUUUGCUUCAUAUCUCUUGUAUAUUUUGCGUGGAGAUAUUUAUGUAUUCAAUUAAUAUGCCCGAAAGGUAUACGAGUUUUGUAAUUAAAUUAAGAACCUAGUAAUUAGUAUACAACUAAACUGGUUUUAUGAACAAAUAAAUGGUGAUCGAAUGUAAAAGAAUGAACAAUUUGUCGAAGGCGCAUCGAUUCUUAAAACCACCUCUGUCGCUUCGAGCAUUUAAUUUAACAUUUGCAGAACUUGAAAACAUUCAAUCUCAAGCUUCUGGUGUGCUCGCUAGUCAGAUAACUUUCGUUCAAAACAUGCAUCCAUAUAUCGACCUUACCUGUCCGAGCGCCAACUUGCCAGAGACGAAGCCACAUUUGUUUCGCUAAAAAAAGCACAGACGUGCCUUACAUAGCAAGGUAUCAUAAAGCUUUAAGCGUGAGCGACAGCCCUUGCUCUGGCCAGAGACUUGGAGUAGAGUUCUUCGUACCGUGAUGCAGAAGUAUCCCAACUGAAAUCUAUAUUCAUGACCUUCUGAACAAGCUGCUGCCAACUAUCCGGCUUAUUCAUGUAGAGGGCGAAUGCACGUCCCAAGGCCCCGUUGAAUCCCUGUGGCGUUUCCAAGUCAGGAUACAGUAAAUCAUGGACAAGAAAAACUAGAAUAACAUACUGGAGGGGAGAAAAAUCACAACACGAGGAAAGGAUCUACGAUCAAAUUGCAAGCCUUGAGCACCAAUGCCAGAUCAAAAACGAAAGAAAAGGAAAGAAAAGGAAAGAAGAAUGUAUAUGGAUGGGCUUUACCUGUUCGUUAGGAGUCAAGAAUGAAUAUCCAUUCCGAAACUGAAGAGGUACGGUGUCGUCAUCAACAUCAAAAACACUGCACAUUAAGUAUUUUAGGAGUUAAGGUUCCUCUAGAAGGAAUAACCUAAAUCGCUAGUAGAACGGAUAAAAUAGGUCAGGCAGUGGAUACUCACCUAUCAUUUAGACCACCAGUUUUUCUUACAAUGGGUAUAGAACCGUAUCUCAUGGCUAUCAUCUGCCCAAGAAAAAGCACAAGUUAAUCCAGCAUGAUGUAGCGAGUAGUGUGCUGAAGUUUUGCGCAGGAAAGAGAACAGACUUUACCUGUGUAAGUCCACAAGGCUCAAAGAUAGACGGGAUGAUGAACAUAUCAGAAGCAGCAAAAAUGGCAUGGGAAAGAGAGUCGUCGUACUUCAAUAUCAAACGAACAUGAUCAUGAUUCUCAAAAUGGCUUGCAAGACCCUCAAAUUCGCUCUACAAUAGCAAACAACACAACAAAAAACCUUUCAGUUAUAGAUUAGAUCAUCAGAUAAUGAAGAGACUACUAAGUAUUUACAUCUACCGGACGGGAGAAUCCAGCGUAUUUAUAACUUCAAUCAAUUUGAAACAUUUAUAUCCAUUUGUUAAUUAAAUAAGCAUGACAAACAAACAAUAAAGAACACGAUAUUAAAUUGGACUUUUCUAUCGCUUUGGACUUGAACUCAGAAUCUUAGCAAUAUAUUGGAUUAGAGAAUAGGUAUUAUGUUUGAUACUGCUUUCAACUUAGCGAUACAUUAAUAUGGUUAGAGACAACAGAGAUACAUUCCCUGCUUGAGCAUAAAAUAACAGCGUAAUUUUCUAACAGUAACGAACAUAGCCAGGAUAUAAUAUCAAAACGGAAGAUAGAGCAGUGCCUGAAUAUGAUGCACUGGGCUAGAACCCAGAAGUACAAACUGUCCUCCGAGCUCCAAUGUUCGAUAUAUCGCAUGUCUGAUAAGAUGUACACCUUUCUGUGGCACCAAUCUUGUUAUGCAGCCCACCUAUUAAAGGAUUGAUCAAACAAUUUCAAUUAAGUAUUCACUCAUCUGGAUUACCGAAAAUAGAAUAAUGAUGCCAUUUUAUAGAGUACCAGAUAUGAUUCCAAGUGCAGAGAAAAUUUAACAGAAAAUGAAAUUACCAAUGGCCUCUUGACAUCUGCCGAAGAAAGCCCCAGAGUUCUUCUUAAAGCUUCCUUAUUUUCUGCUUUCCCCUGACGAUCAUUAGCACUGUACUGUACUUUGAGAUACGCAUCAGUGGCAGGAUUCCAUGCAUCAGCAUCAAUACCAUUUAGAACUCCAUUGAACUUCUUAGAAUGAAAAUUUAGUGUUGAAUGGAGACCGUGUCCUCCCUGUGAUCAUAAAUAAACAACUAUUUUUUUACAAACGGAAGUUCAAGAAUUCAAAAAAUUGGCUAACUACACAAAACUUUUCACCCAUAGCAUCUUAAUCAAUUUCAAGGCUGUCUGCAGUAAAGUUAUUUUGACUGUCACGAAAGUCCAAAACAGAGACUGUGUCUAUGAUGUAUUUUUUACAUGAGUAGGGAAGAGAUAUAUUGUUCUCUUUUCUCAUCUGUGAAGUGUACUAAUGCCCAAAAACAGAAUAAAAGUGGGAUGUUGAGUAUCCAACAUGAAGAACCUUUUGAUUAGGAGCCACAUAAUUUACUAGAGGUCCAACAACUGAUGACUUCUAUAUCAAAGCUCUCUUAGAAAAGCACAAUUUUGAAAUUUUUUCUUUCAUCUGAAGAGGCCAACAUCAUGUCAACACAAAUCCACAAACAAAAUCAUACACUUAGAUGUUGAUAUCUCUAACGUGUGUGGAAUCUGGAUUACUAUGUAUACAAGAGAGACAUAUUUACACAAUUUAUGACGGAAACUUACAUUUGGUGAAAAUUAUUAGAUUCUCCAAAAUCAAAUGUUAAAAGGAAACAAUGCCUAUAGGCUGGGUCGGGGCAAGAAAUUUGAAUUUGAAUCUGAUAUCUAUAGGAAACUGUUAGUAUGAGCAAAAGCCAUACCUCAGCAGUCAGCACCUCUUGUGCAUAGGUGGGUGAUACUGUUGUCACGAUAUUAGAGAAUACAACUGCACCCUUAAAGAGAGAAGUACAAAAAUGAUAAUGGAAUCAGGAAAGCUUUUGCCAACUCCCGAAAUGCUGGUAAUAAAUGAAUCAACAAUUGCUAUACCUUAACAGCAUUGAUCCUAUCAUGUGCUGAGUUGUCCUGCAUUCUAUCUGGUCUAUUUAGCUGGUGGACAUCAAGACCACAAGAUGCCAAUUCUGAAGCAGGUGCAGUCCCUUGGUAUUCAAAGUUGUGGCAUGUAAAACAUAUUCUAGCUGAGUUCAAUCCAUUUGGCGCAUAUAGGUCCCAGUAAAGUGGAGCCUAAGAACAGCAACAAGUUAAGAGAGAGAGAGAGAGAGAGAGAGAGAGAGAGAGAGAGAGAGAGAGAGAGAGAGAGAGAGAGAGAGAGAGCAUGGUAAAGGAAAAUGAAGGUUUAAGGGUCCAUACAACAAAAGCUGUCUGCCAAUCAUGGCAGUGAAUUAUGUCUGGUUGCUUGCCAGAUUGAAGAAGCAACUCAAGGGCUGCACGACUGAAAAAGGAAAAUCGCUUGAAAUCAUCAUGUUCCCCAUAAAACCGUCCUCUCCAGAAAAACUUAUCAGGAUGCAGAGGCUCAAUAAAAUAAACAGGAAGACCUGCAUAAUCAACACCAGAGUGAGCAUCCAAGACUACAGUAAGAAUCCAAGACAAUAAUAUGUCAUGCAAACGAAACUUUCAAUGUACAAACCUUCAACAGUGCCAACCCAGACUUUAUUUUUGAAUAGUCGACCGUCAAAGUAUGACUCUAACACCAGAUCUAGGGCCUGCAUGUUAAAGUGUAAUGAAACUCAAGUAGAAAAUGCAUCUUUUCUAAAAUUAAUUAACUAUUCAACGUACCCUUAGGUCAGGAACACGAUCGUACUGCAUGCAGUCAUAUUUGGGAAGAACAAUUUCCACAAGGUGUCCCUUCUUCUGCAGUGCUUUACCAAGACCAGCCACAACAUCCCCCAAACCACCAACCUGUAAAAUUAACUAGUUAUGUUGAUGGUAUGUUUAUCAAAACAAAAUGGAAGAUCUUUGAGAUGUCCCUAUACAUUUAGACAUGAAUAUUAAACAGUGUUCAACAAAUUCCUGAAUCUGAACUACUGUAAUAAAAGUAAUUAUAGCUUAACAAGUAAGAAACCCCGCUCAAUUAUCUUAAUAGAAUAAAGCAAAGAAAGAUAAAAAUUUAUAGAGGCAAGCUGAACUCACCUUAGCAACUGGUGCCAUCUCUGCUGCAAUAUGAACGACAUGCAAUCCUGGACUAAAAAAUCAACAAACUCACAGAUUAAAUAAAAGCCUAAACACAAAAAUCAACAAACUAGCAAUAUGAACGACAUGCAAUCCUGCAUUCUUCUAAUACUAGAAAGUUCAUACCUUGUUUGUGAUGAUAUCAGUUUGAGAAAUGUAGACACAGCGUCAUGCUCGUUCUUUUCCUUGCAGGCCAUGUAUGAGUCAUGAAUUCGUCUCUCUCUCUUCCAAACCAUUUCUCUCAAUACCUGAGCAUCAUCAAUUGAUAUUUUGUUCUCAAACAACCAACCAUCGAUCAUAAGCAAUAAACGACUCCAAAAUUCCCAUGGCAUAUCAUCCACAGGUUCAUCAACUGCCCUUCUCUUGCUUUCUUCUUUUAGAGUAUUUAGUGUAUCUUGAAAUUCCUCCACAGAUUCUUGAUAUAAUUGAACAUAAGAAUGUAUCUCUUCGUCAGAUCUUUGAAGCCGGUCCUCCAUAAGUUUUAUUUUCUGUUGCAUCAGCUCAUUAUAUCGUUGCAUCUUUUCUGAUGACUCUCUAUAGACAUUAGCUGUUUCAAGAGAUUCUUCUAAUUUAUCAACUUUCUUUUGAAUCUCUUGGUUCUGCUGUAAAACUACAAUAGCUUGAUCUGCCUGUUUGGUUGACUUAUCUAGCAGUAGCUGCAAAUUCUCCACCUUCUCCCAUAAUCCUUUGCAUUCAACUUUAAGAUUGGAUAGUUUGGACACUUCUUCCUGAGAAACUGACAAUUUCGAUUCCAACUCUUUCAACGCAGACUCUAAAGUCGACCGUUGAUUUUCCAGCAUUACCACCCGUUCAUCCGUAUUCUUCACAUAGCUAAGCUCCUCCCUGAGUGCUUCUACAUCAUUCUUUAGGGAUUGAUUUUCCAAUCUCAAUGCAUUCAGAUUGGCAACAAGAGCAUUGAUGCUAGUUCUGUAUGGUAGAGGAGCUUCUUCGUUAAACAGCUGGUCUUCAUUCUCAAAAAUCUCCACCUGACCUCUUUCAACACCACCGUCACCAUUGAGAUUCAGUUCAUUCCGCAUCUUAUCUAACUGGUUUUCCAAAAGUUCCACCUUUAUUUUUUCCUGGGCAGCUACUCUAAUCCGCGCAUCGGUCUCUGCCAAUCUCAUCUCCAAAGCAUUCAUCUGUCCUUGCAAUGCCUCCUUCUCACCGAGAAUCUUGUCAAGGUCUUCAAGCGCAUUAACCCGCGCCCGGUUGAGAAGAUGGAUAUCUAAGGCCACAAAAGAGAUAUACAUGUUUCACAAAUCUAAUAAAUGAGGAAUAAACAGUAAGGCCUGUUUGGGACUGCUUAUAGGAUGCUAAAAGCACUUUUGACCAUGUUUGAAAGAAAACUUAGAAACACUUAUACAUAAAUCAAGUGCUUUCUUAUCAUAAAAGUGGUUUCUUAACUGCUUUCCAUAAAGCACUAGAAUUUCUAAUAGAAAAUUCGAAGUUUUCAAAUAAAGGAGCUAGAAGUGCUUAUGCACGAAAGUGCUUCUUACAAAAGCAGUCCCAAACGGACCAUAAUUGAAGGCAAAUGAACAGGGCAGAGUAAUAACCUACUUUUCUCUGCAUUUCUAAUCAUGCCAACCAAAUCCUGAGUAUUAUACGCCUGUAAAGCCAACAAGCAAUCAAACUCAUAACAAUAAUUUAAUAAUUAACACGAACUCUUGAGUGUUGAUAAGCAAAGAUGAAGAGUUACCGAAGGAUUUGCUUGAUCAGACGGAGUUAAAGUUGUCAAAAUCGAAUCGUUUCCAUUGGCAGUGGGAGCUUCGUGAUCAGAUACGCUUUCAAUGGGGACGAUGACGCCCGCCGAAGAAGCACCGUCAGAUUCGGAGUCGUCGUUGCCAUUGAACCGGAAAUCUGUAGUCGUCGAAGGCUGUUCAACCGAGCCUUUCUUCCUUAGUCUAUGCCUCUUAUUCACGCAAUUGCAACUUCAAAAGUCGAAGUCGAAUCAAAAUUAUCAUCAAUCACUCGAUCAAGCAGAUUGAAGUUUGAGAAUUUGAUCGAUAAACGAUUUCAGAGAGAAAGAGAGGAGGGAGAGAGAGAGAGAGGAGGGGGAAGGUACCUGAGAUUACGGUGCCGGGGCUUGCAGGAAGAAGCAGGAGAGCAGUGAAACGAAAAGCGAGCGUUUGAAUAUGAGCGGUGGCGGGAGGUGGAGUUGGAGCCGGUACUGCUGAGCCCCUGGGUGACGAACCAGGUCGUUAGUCUGACCGCCAUUGAUGAUCAACUCAAGCUUUCUCUCUCCUCUUUCGGUGGAGAGAGAGAAGAAGAAGUGGUUUCUUUGGCACAACGACUAACAGUCGUUUUAUCGUACGACUCGGGGGCGAAUAUAAGCAGAGGAUGUCUCCCGUCCAAGGAAAGUAAUCGAAUAUUCUAACUUUUUUACUUUUCUAUUUUUUAUUAAUCAUUCUGUUGGAAUUAAUAAAAAUAAAAAUAAAAAUAAAAAUUGGAUUAGUAAGCGAAUGAGGAUGCUCUUUGUGAGGAUACGAAGAUUUUUAAAUCGUGUCCAUUUAUUGUAUACUGUAUAGUUAAUUUUUUUCAUGUACUAUUUAUAUUUAAUUUUACAUAAAAAUAUUUAAAAUAAUUUUUAUCUACAUAAUGUACGAUGAGACACAAUUUAAAAAAUUUUUAAAUCCCCAUAAAAAGAAUCCGGAAAGCAUCCUCUUCCUUUGUAAGCAAUAUUAAGGAGGGUGAGGUGUAGAAUGUAGAUGGAAACCGAGGUGAGUGAGUCACCUUAUCUAAAUCGAACGGUGAUGGGGUGUGGGCCAAGGUCCAUAACAGGUGGGCCCUUCCACAAAAAAUUUCUUAUGAUAAAAACCUACCACGAAAUUUGGAAGUUGGAUAAUUGAAAGCGAAUAAGUUGGGAAGUUCGUUUCUAAUGGAUGAAGUUCUUAAUAUAUCUUUAGAUUUAAUAGAAAUAAAAAAGAUGGCGUUAGUAAAAAUGAUAAUAGUGCAACACAUUGUAAGUUUGAAGAUUAAAUAAAUUAAAAGUAAAUUACAUAGUAACCCCUUAGGUUUGAGGUCUAUUACAACUCCAUACAACAACUUUAAAACAUUUCAUUUUCAUACAUCCAGUACCAUUUUAUUUCAAAAUAACACCUCCGUUAGAUUUUCCAUCCAUUAGUCUGUUAAAUGCUGACGUGGCUACCACAUUUGUGCUGAUGUGGCUGCCACGUGGCAAAAAAAGAUAUUUUUUUAUUUUUUAUUUUAAAAAAAAUCUAAAUCUUCUAAAUAUUAAAAUUAUAAAAAAUAAAUAAAUAUUUUAAAAAAAAAAAACUAGAAAAUCCCGAAACCCAGAUCCCUUCCUUACCCCCCACCCUUCUGCAACUCCCAAAAUCCUCUCUUCUCCUCGCAACCCCAAAACCCAUAUCCGCCAUCUUCAUCUUCUUCCCUGAAAACCUAGAAAUGAUAACCCCCCACCCCACCCCACUCGCGUCCCCCACCCCAAAACCAAAAACCCAGAACACCCCUUCCCCACCCACGACCCUCCCUGUGCACCCCCUAACCCACGACCCUUCCUCCCUCCGCACCCACCAUCUUUCAUUCUCUACACACCCCCACUCUCCUCUACACACCCCCCACUCUCUACACACCCCCAUCGCCGACCCAAUUGCUUCUUCUACCACCACCGCCACCGCAAACAAUCAAGACAUCAGCUUGCUUUAAGUUAUGUACGCCAUGGAAGCUGCGGAGGCCACAAUCAAGCAGCAGGUGGAAUACAACAUUCGGUUACGGGCUCAGCUCGAAUACAAGAUUCUUGAGCUGCACAGGUACAAGCUCCACGAAUCCAUGGCCGCCCAAUUGCCGCAUUCCGCCCGCGAAUCUCAGGACCAAGCUCAUCAGGUAGCUGCCGCUGGCGUCUACAAUCGAAUCGAGAGGAUUGCGAAUCACGGUUCGUCAUAGCAGAGUCGUGGGGAAUCGAAAACAAGAGAGACCCAAUUGGGCAGCAGCGAAAUCAAUGAAGGUGGUUCGGGUUUUUGGUACUCCAACGGCGGCUGAUAACGCAAGCAAUGGGAUAUCGAGAUUGUCAUCGCCGUCUACGAUGACGUCGCUUUCACCAGGCAGGUCGAGCAUGGAGGGGGAUUACGGAAAUGGGUUGAUGCCAUUGACCGAGUCGAACAACCCUAAUAGCAGAAUGUUGAAGAAGGAUCUGGUUGUUAGGGUUCAUAAGCACGAUCAAGAAAUUAUGCAAUUGCGAAAGCAUUUGGCGGAUUAUUCGAUCAAAGAGGCGCAAACUCGGAACGAAAAGUAUGUGCUGGAGAAGCGCAUUGCAGGUUGUGGGUGGGUUGCGGGUUCAGCUUGAAUUUGGUUUUUGGUUUUGUUUUUUUUUAUUUAGAAGAUUCAAGUUUUUUUUUUAAAUUAAAAAAUUAUUAUUUUUGCCACGUGGCACACAUUUGGCAGCCACGUGGCACAAAUGUGGCAGCCACAUCAUCACUUAACGGAUCAAUGGAUGGAAAAUGUAACGGAUGUAUUAUUUUGAAAUAAAAUAGUACUUGAGGUAUGAAAAUGAAAUGUUUUAAAUAUGUUGUAUGGGGUUGUAAUAGACUUCAAACCUGAGGGGCUACUAUGUAAUUUACCCAUAAAUUAAUAUGAGAUUUCAGAACCUAAAUGCAAAUUUUUUAUCUGUAUAUAUAAAUAGACAAGAUAAAAUUGAUCAAGCUUUCGUAAUAGUCAAAUUACCUUUCUCUCAUUAGAAUUAAUAAUAAUAAUAAUAAUAAUCACAAAAAACCACACACAUAGUGAAAUUGUGGUCGGUUACGUUCAUUAUUUUCUAAAUAUAUUUUAAUAAAAUUAGUAAUAUUAAAAAACAAUAAAAGAGUAAAAAAAAAAAAACAAUUACCACGUUGGAGUGUGACAGGAGACUAGUCUAUAUAUAAAGUUAGCAUUUUUUUUGUAUCUCCUAUAAGAGCAGCUCCACCAGAGUUGAUAGCCAUGUGGACAGGGGACCAAUUCAACCUAAUCCCUUCCCUUCCUUGCUCCAGCCUAUGAGGGCGAUUGGGCUAAAGGGGGCUCGUGUGAGAGGGGAGGUAGGAGUCCAAAGCCUGAGCGCUUGAGGCAUGUCUGAUGCAAAGAUGACGUCAAGCACGUUAUACAUUUUGUUUGCAUAAGGCGCGUGCAUCACAUGUGCGUGUGGGGGCGCGUCACCGACUAGAUUUCAGUCAGUGGGACCCGCAGUUUGAAUUCUGAAACGUUACUUUGUGGGUGCCACGUGGCAACCUCAAGGCUGUUGGAUUUCAAUAGAUACUUUUUUUGGACCAUUGGAUUUCCAAUGGUAAAAAAAAAUAUUCAAACCUCCCCCAACGACUAGAUGAUAUGGCACAAUCUCAGUUGUUGGAUUUCAGCUCAACGGUCCACGUUAUUUGCCUUUAAAAAUUUCAAAAAAAAAUCAGAUAUAUUACCGUUGUGCCACGUGGCACAAUCUGGAAGGUUGGAUUUCAAUUUUUCUUUAAUCCAACAACAUAAAUUAAUUAAGUUAAUAAAAAAUGUAAAAAGUUAUUUUUUAUUAUUUUAUAAAAUAAAAAAAUACUAAUAUUUUAUUGUCUAUUACCAUGACUAUUUAGUUUAGAGGUGGAGAUGCAAAAGAUAAUUAUUGUUCAUUAAAGGUAAUUACUAUUCACUGGAAGGGAUUCAAUAGGCAGUUGCCCUCAGGGCCUUCCAACACUAGAAGUUCUCUAAGUAAAGUUAGCACCUUAAAAUAAUAAAUUUUUCUAUAUCUAUACAAAGAAUGUCUCUCUCUAAUUAGAAUGUUAAAAUAAAAGUAUUAAUUUAAAAAAUUACUUAAGGAUUCUGAAAAAUAAAAGAUUCCAACAUAGUGGGCAUUAUUUCUUUGAAAUUUAAAAUAACUAUGAAAUCAAUAUUUUAAAUAAAUUACAAAAUAAAUUUGAAAAACUCAAUUAUCACAUGAGUUAAUCGGUGACAAGAGGCUAGUUUUAUAUACACCAUAUAUUAACAAUAAUCAUAACUCAAACUUUUAUUCACGAUUUAACUCAAAUUUAUGAAAUUUAAGUUGACCACUUUUUUUAUAUUUUAUUUUUUUGCACAAAAUUUAUGUUGAUUAUUACGAUUGGGAAAUUGUUACUCUUUCCACAAGCUGUGAUCAGCAAAGCCACUGACACUCCUGAUGAACAAAUCCACCAAUUACCCAUCUUUUUCUUUGCGCUUCUGCUCCUCCUCCUGCCGUUCCGCCGUCCAAUCUCCGCCUGCUCAGCCGUCGCAGGACCCCGCCACCUUCAUAGCCUUCCUGCAACACGCGCCCGACCCCACAAAACACACACUCUGAAACACUGUUCACUGCGCGCUUCCUGUUUUACCCCUGCCAAGUUUGCAUUAUUACAUUUCUUCUUGCCUCCAAGCAGGCAGCCAUUUUGCUCCGGAUCUUUCACAUUGAAAUUCCUCUCCUUCUACCUUUGCAUGUUGAAUUUCACAUCAACAGCAUCUCCCUAUAAGCUAGGAGCUUUGUUCUGUAAAAGUUCUAGUGAAUGACAAUGAGUGUUUGAUAUUACUUGAAUGACAAGUAACUUGUUUAUGGGUUAUUUGUUAUAAAAGUGAUAUAGUUGAUCUCCAACUCAUAAGGAUUAUGGAGUCUGAUAUUCAUGCAGCUAACUUGAUCAAAUCCUGAUAAGGGUUUAAUGCAAAGAUAUUGAAUCAUGAUAGGACUCUUUCAUCAUUUAGAUGAUAAGGGUAUGCGACCGUUGAUAGGCCGAUGGCGUAACCCUAACUGAUAUAUAUAUAAAUAUAUGAAGUUGUAGUCCGUGCUCCCAUACGUGAAAAACCCUAAAUAUUGCUUAAACCUAUUCACACAGUAAGGGAGCUAUUGAGUAGUGGGAGUAUAAGACUGACUUGCGUUACAAUCAUGGCAUAAAAUACAAGUAGGUGUUCCUGCAAUUAAUUUUUGAUAUACACUACUAUAUAUUCUGUAUGAGUUAGUUGUAUUGUAACCCUAGUACCUAGUUGUUGUAGUUUGGCUUAUGAGUUUUAUAUAACUGCUUACAUGUUCGGCUUCAAGCUUUCCGACGGUAAUUGGACGAUUCCUCAAACGCCCGCCAUCAAGGUUAGUCUCAAACUAUUCCUACCUUAUUGACCUUUUGCAUCUCAAAAUAUGCUUCAAAUUUGUGAUUUAAUAUAAUUGGGCUUUAGUCUAAUCCAAUUUAACGAUAAGAAAUUCCAGCUGGGGAUGGGACUGCAAUUUCAUCUGCUCCAAACAAAUAGAUUCCUUUUAAUCUGAAUUUAGAGAAUUAUAUUUGAAUUUUUUUUAUAUAUGUGAGCUGCUUUUCUAGGAUUUUGUCUUAAAGAGUUCAUCUUGAUCAUACACACGAGUCUGAUAUUAUCAAGUAAGAUGCCCAAGUCCUCUUGCAUUCAUAUAAUUACAUUUGUGAGCUGCUUUUCUGGGUUUUUGUGACAUAUGAAGCAGGCUCUUGUAUAUUACACUAAAAUAAAAUUGUCUAUUUUUCUAUUUUCCCUUAAAAAAUGGAAGGUAGAAAAAAAUAAUAUAUAUUGGCUUAUUAUAUUAGCAUCCCACAAAUUGUUGAAUAAACCUCACAUACUUAAUACACCCCACAUUUUCUUUUUCAAUUAAAAAUUAUUUUAAUACACCACACUUCCUUCCUCAUAAUACCCUCACACCCCACAUUCUUAAUAUACACCUUACAUUUUCUACAUAAACCCCACAUUUUUUAUAUACCCCACAUUUCUAAAAUCUUAUAACACUCAUUUUUAAUUUUGCCGAAUGAUUUCAAAGUAUCUGAACGUUAGUUUGCCGAAUGAUUUCAAAUUGAAUACAACAACAACAACAAAGCCUUUUCCCACUAAGUGGGGUCGGCUAUAUGAAUCCUAGAACGCCAUUGCGCUCGGUUUUGUGUCAUGUCCUCCGUUAGAUCCAAGUACUCAAGUCUUUUCUUAGGGUCUCUUCCAAAGUUUUCCUAGGUCUUCCUCUACCCCUUCGGCCCUGAACCUCUGUCCCGUAGUCACAUUUUCGAACCGGAGCGUCAGUAGGCCUUCUUUGCACAUGUCCAAACCACCGGAACCGAUUUUCUCUCAUAUUUCCUUCAAUUUUGGCUACUCCUACUUUACCUCGGAUAUCCUCAUUCCCAAUCUUAUCCUUUCUCGUGUACCCAUACAUCCCAUGAAGCAUCCUCAUCUCCGCUACACCCAUUUUGUGUACGUGUUGAUGCUUCACCGCCCAACAUUCUGUGCCAUACAACAUCGCUGGCCUUAUUGCCGUCCUAUAAAAUUUUCCCUUGAGCUUCAGUGGCCUACGACGGUCACACAACACGCCGGAUGCACUCUUACACUUCAUCCAUCCAGCUUGUAUUCUAUGGUUGAGAUCUCCAUCUAAUUCUCCGUUCUCUUGCAAGAUAGAUCCUAGGUAGCGAAAACGGUCACUUUUUGUGAUCUUCGCUAGAUUGCUCCAGUCAUUAGUGUGGAUAAGUAUAUAAAUGGAUAGAGAUAGGAAAGCAAUCACAAGAUGUACGUGGUUCACCCAGAUUGGCUACGUCCACGGAAUAGAGGAGUUCUCAUUAAUUGUGAAGGGUUUACACAAGUACAUAGGUUCAAGCUCUCCUUUAGUGAGUACAAGUGAAUGAUUUAGUACAAAUGACAUUAGGAAAUAUUGUGGGAGAAUGAUUUCGUAACCACGAAACUUCUAAGUACUGGAGUGUGGUAUCGUCUUGACUUUCCUUAUCUGUCUCAUAGGUAGAUGUGGCAUCUUCUCUGGAAGUACUCUUCCUCCAUCCAGGGGUGGUAUCUGUAACUGGUGGAGAUGCACAAGGUAAUGUAUCAAUGUUCACUUGAAGCUUACUUGUAGUUUCAGGCUUGGUCAAGCGCGAUACAAACCAUGUAGUAGGAGUCCCCCCAAGUCGCCGAGCUAGGGGAUCUGCUGAAAGAGGUGACAGACAAGGUAAGCAAUCAGAGCUCCGGCUGAUUGUUCAUAUUCUCCCUAUCUUGCAGGCAGCAUGAAGGAUAAAGAGAAGAAAAAUGAGAAGAGAUGAUAUGGGAUACUUUUGCUUUUGAAGAAGUAACUUUCCACAGGCUUAUUCUUGAACUGGGCUGGAGGGUUUUCUGGUUUCCUCCAGAGAUAAGGCCGACUGAAGAAUUUGAGGGUCAAAACAAGUCCAUCAAAUCUAGAGUACGUUCGACCCUGCUGAUAUGGGAUACUUUUGCUUUUGACAGAGUAAUGGAUGUAUCGGCACGUGUGCUGUUACGCUUGUCUCCACAUGCUUCCUUGUAUCCUUCUCACUUGCCCUAUUUGUUCCUCAGGCAGAUGCGGGAUCUUCCCUGGAAGUAUAAGAUGUUGAAGAUGAGUACUCGAGAGCAAUGCCAGGUAAGUAAUCAGGUAAGGGGUUCCAGGCAGUCAGUUCCUGGCUGGAAGCUUGAUUCCAAGUGCUGACUGAUUGCUCUCUUUCUCCUUGUCUUGCAGGUAAGAACAAGGCCAAAGGAAAAGACAGGGAAAAAGCAUGAUAUGGGAUACUCUUGCUUUUAACCCUGAUGAUAUGAGAUAUUCUUGCUCUAGUAUAGCUUGUUUACAGAGGUAUUAUCGGGGGGAAAGAAAGCUGAAUAUUUCGAAAGGCUUCGUUGGGAUUGCCCUCUCAGAUAAGAGGAAGGGUUGAGCAUUUUUGCAGGUCUGCAUGUCCGUUGAGGAUGGAGGUCGACAUAUAUAGAAGUCUCCCUAACAUCAAGUAAUAAUGCUAUUCCUUUACCCUACUUGGUCAUAGCACGGUAGUGGGAGCUGCCAGCUUCACAAGUUUUAACUCUGUCAGAGCACUUUGAAAAAGUGGUCUGUGGUAUCUGGAAAGCUGAUGUUGCGUGUGAAGAUUACAGACAAACUUUAUCCAAGGAGAUCCAGCUCUUGAAGUUGGGAAAGUGGUGCCUCUUCGGUUUUCGAACAAGCAAUCCUGUCGGGGAUCUGGCUCUCGAGAUUCGGAGAACAAUGCCUCUUCGAUUUUUGAGAAAGCAAUCCUACUGGGGGUCUGGUUCUCGAGAUUCGGAGAGCGGUGUCUUCGAUUUUUGAGAAAGUAAUCAUGUUGGGAGUCUGGCUCUCGAGAUUCGGAGGGCGGUGCCUCUUUGAUUUUGGAGCAAGCAAUCUUGUUGGGAGUGUUUUCUCGAAUGUGAGUAAAGGUUGGGCAUGUUUGCUAGUCUACCUUGCCACGAAGCAUAGAGGUUGACAUACAGGGACUUUCCAAUUAUCCAGCAGUGGUACUGUUCCUUUACCCUAUCUUCGAUUUUUGAGAAAGUAAUCAUGUUAGGAGUCUGGCUCUCGAGAUUCGGAGGGCAUGUUUGCUAGUCUACCUUGCCACGAAGCAUAGAGGUUGACACACAGGGACUUUCCAAUUAUCCAGCCGUGGUACUGUUCCUUUACCCUCUCUUCGAUUUUUGAGAAAGUAAUCAUGUUGGGAGUCUGGCUCUCAAGAUUCGGAGGGCGAUGCCUCUUCGAUUUUGGAGCAAGCAAUCUUGUUGGGAGUGUUUUCUCGAAUGUGAGUAAAGGUUGGGCAUGUUUGCUAGUCUACCUUGCCACGAAGCACAGAGGAGCAGUGGUACUGUUCCUUUACCCUUGUGGGUAAUAAUAUGGUAGCUAGACCUUCAAAAUUUAUGUGUCUAAACUUUGUUAGUGUUGUUUCUUUGCUAAUCUUUUACCCUUCUUGGUCAGAGUGAUGUAGUGGGAGCUGCAAGCUUCACGUGUCUCAACUUUGUCAGAGAACUUUGUCAGAGAACUUUGGCAAGUUAUCUGUGGUACCCAUGAGCUACUGUUGCGUGUGGGAAGUGGGUGAUUGAACAGUAAGAUUCAUGUGCUUUUCUACUUCGCCAGAAAUCUUCGACAGAAUGCCCAUAAUUUCCGCAAAGCUGAGUGUGCGUGUGACAGGUGCUGACAAGGCUGGAAAAAGUAGGUGCCUCUUCGAUUUCUGAGAUCGGCCCUCGUGGUCUCUGAGCAGCCCAGCUUUUGAGAAAGCAAGCCUCUUCGAUUUCUGAGAUCGGCCUUCGUGGUCUUUGAGCAGCCCAGCUUUUGAGAAAGCAAACGCCUCUUCGAUUUCUGAGAUCGACCCUCGUGGUCUCUGAGCAGCCCAGCUUUUGAGAAAGCAAACGCCUCUUCGAUUUCUGAGCAGGCGCCUCUUCGAUUUCUGAAGCUUCCGUCGAGUGCAGAUUUUUAUAGGGGCUGGCAUUAAGUUCCAAAGCACACUUGAAUCUCCACCAGUAGAAGCUUCCAUUCUUGCACUUCUAAGAUCUUGAUUUGUCCGACCUCUUCUCUCUUCAACACCUUUGAAAAUGUCUGGCCCCUCCGACCGUCGUUUUGACUUGAACCUUGUUGAAGAGGCAGCCCCGCCUUCUCCAGACAACAUAUGGCGCCCAUCCUUCGUCUCCCCUACUGGUCCUCUUACCGUUGGGGAUUCCGUGAUGAAGAAUGAUAUGACCGCUGCGGUGGUGGCCAGGAACCUUCUCACUCCCAAAGAUAACAGACUACUUUCCAAACGGUCUGAUGAGUUGGCUGUUAAGGAUUCUCUGGCUCUCAGUGUUCAGUGUGCAGGUUCUGUGUCUAAUAUGGCCCAACGCCUAUUUGCUCGAACCCGCCAAGUUGAAUCAUUGGCGGCUGAAGUGAUGAGUCUCAAACAGGAGAUUAGAGGGCUCAAGCAUGAGAAUAAACAGUUGCACCGGCUCGCACAUGACUAUGCUACAAACAUGAAGAGGAAGCUUGACCAGAUGAAGGAAUCUGAUGGUCAGGUUUUACUUGAUCAUCAGAGAUUUGUGGGUUUGUUCCAAAGGCAUUUAUUGCCUUCGUCUUCUGGGGCUGUACCGCGUAAUGAAGCUCCAAAUGAUCAACCUCUGAUGCCUCCUCCUUCUAGGGUUCUGUCCAGUACUGAGGCUCCGAAAUGAUCCCCCUCCGGUGCCUUCUCUUUCUGGGGCUCUACCGACUGCUGAGACUUCUCCUAAGCAACCUUUGUGAAGGCUCCCUCUUGUUUGUUUAUUUUGACUCAAGUAUAUGUACAUAUUUGUAACUUAUCGGGGAUAUCAAUAAAUAAGCUUUCCUUCAUUUCAACGUAUUGUGUUAAAUACACCAAAGCCUUCUUCGCUAAGUUCUUUGAAUUUUCUUUUGUUGAAGCUUGUAUGUUGAAGCUUUGUGAGUGGAGCAUGUAGGUUGAGGUAGUGUUCCCUUAAUUUCCCGAGUGAGGAAAACUUCUCGGUUGGAGACUUGGAAAAUCCAAGUCACUGAGUGGGAUCGGCUAUAUGAAUCUUAGAACGCCAUUGUGUUCUGUCCUGUGUCAUGUCCUCCGUUAGAUCCAAGUACUCUAAGUCUUUUCUUAGGGUCUCUUCCAAAGUUUUCCUAGGUCUUCCUCUACCCCUUCGGCCCUGAACCUCUGUCCCAUAGUCGCAUCUUCUAAUCGGAGCGUCAGUAGGCCUUCUUUGCACAUGUCCAAACCACCGUAACCGAUUUUCUCUCAUCUUUCCUUCAAUUUCGGCUACUCCUACUUUACCCCGGAUAUCCUCAUUCCUAAUCUUAUCCUUUCUCGUGUGCCCACACAUCCAACGAAGCAUCCUCAUCUCCGCUACACCCAUUUUGUGUACGUGUUGAUGCUUCACCGCCCAACAUUCUGUGCCAUACAGCAUCGCCGGCCUUAUUGCCGUCCUAUAAAAUUUUCCCUUGAGCUUCAGUGGCAUACGGCGGUCACACAACACGCCGGAUGCACUCUUCCACUUCAUCCAUCCAGCUUGUAUUCUAUGGUUGAGAUCUCCAUCUAAUUCUCCGUUCUUUUGCAAGAUAGAUCCUAGGUAACGAAAACGGUCGCUCUUUGGUAUUUCUUGAUCUCCGAUCCUCACCCCUAACUCGUUUUGGCCUCCAUUUGCACUGAACUUGCACUCCAUAUAUUCUUCUGUCUUUGAUCGGCUUAGGCGAAGACCUUUAGAUUCCAACACUUCUCUCCAAAGGUUAAGCUUUGCAUUUACCCCUUCCUGAGUUUCAUCUAUCAACACUAUAUCGUCUGCGAAAAGCAUACACCAAGGAAUAUCAUCUUGAAUAUGUCCUGUUAACUCAUCCAUUACCAACGCAAAAAGGUAAGGACUUAAGGAUGAGCCUUGAUGUAAUCCUACAGUUAUGGGAAAGCUUUCGGUUUGUCCUUCAUGAGUUCUUACGGCAGUCUUUGCUCCUUCAUACAUAUCCUGUAUAGCUUGGAUAUAUGCUACUCGUACUCCUUUCUUCUCUAAAAUCCUCCAAAGAAUGUCUCUUGGGACCCUAUCAUACGCUUUUUCCAAAUCUAUAAAGACCAUGUGUAAAUCCUUUUUCCCAUCUCUAUAUCUUUCCAUCAAUCUUCGUAAGAGAUAGAUUGCCUCCAUGGUUGAGCGCCCUGGCAUGAUGAACCCGAAUUGGUUGUGUCCGAAACCCGUGUCUCUUGCCUCAAUCUAUGCUCAAUGACUCUCUCUCCCAGAGCUUCAUUGUAUGACUCAUUAGCUUAAUACCCCUAUAGUUCAUGCAAUUUUGUACAUCGCCCUUAUUCUUGUAGAUAGGCACCAAAGUGCUCGUUCGCCACUCAUUUGGCAUCUUCUUCGUUUUCAAAAUCCUAUUGAAAAGGUCAGUGAGCCAUGUUAUACCUGUCUCUCCCAAAACUUUCCACACUUCGAUUGGUAUAUCGUCUGGGCCUACUGCUUUUCUAUGCUUCAUCUUCUUCAAAGCUACAACCACUUCUUCCUUCCGGAUUCUACGAUAAAAAAGAGUAGUUUCUACACUCUUCUGAGUUACUCAACUCCCCUAAAGAAGCACUCCUUUCAUGUCCUUCAUUGAAAAGAUUAUGAAAAUAACCUUUCCAUCUGUCUUUAACCGCGUUCUCUGUAGCAAGAACUUUUUCCAUCCUCAUCCUUGAUGCACCUCACUUGGUUUAGGUCCCUUGUCUUCUUUUCCCUUGCUCUAGCUAGUUUAUAGAUAUCCAACUCUCCUUCUUUGGUAUCUAGUCGCUUAUACAUAUCGUCAUAAGCCGCUAACUUAGCUUCUCUCUCACAGCUUUCUUCGCCUCUUGCUUCGCUUUUCUAUACCUUUCACCAUUUUCAUCGGUCCUAUCCUUGUAUAAGGCUUUACAACAUUCCUUCUUAGCCUUCACCUUUGUUUGUACCUCCUCAUUCCACCACCAAGAUUCCUUUUGGUGUGGGGCAAAGCCCUUGGACUCUCCUAAUACCUCUUUAGCUACUUUUCGGAUACAACUAGCCAUGGAAUCCCACAUUUGGUUAGCUUCCCCCUCUCUAUCCCACACACACUGGGUGAUUACUUUCUCUUUGAAAAUGGCUUGUUUUUCUUCUUUUAGAUUCCACCAUCUAGUCCUUGGGCACUUCCAAGUCUUGUUCUUUUUUUCUCACUCGUUUUGAUAUGUACAUCCAUCACCAACAAGCGAUGUUGAUUAGCCACGCUCUCUCCUGGUAUAACUUUGCAAUCCUUACAAGUUAUACGAUCCCCUUUCCUCAUUAGAAGAAAAUCUAUUUGUGUUUUUGACGACCCAUUCUUGUAGGUGAUCACAUGUUCUUCUCUCUUCUUAAAGAAGGUGUUGGCUAAGAAGAGAUCAUAUGCCAUUGCAAAAUCCAAGAUAGCUUCCCCAUCCUCGUUUCUCUCUCCAAAACCAUGGCCACCAUGAAAACCUCCAUAGUUGCCUGUCUCCCUGCCCACGUGUCCAUUUAAAUCUCCUCCUAUAAAUAACUUCUCCGUCUGAGCAAUUCCUUGCACCAAGUCUCCAAGGUCUUCCCAAAAUUUCUCCUUCGAACUCGUAUCCAACCCUACUUGAGGUGCGUACGCACUAAUCACAUUGAUAAGUUCUUGUCCUAUUACAAUCUUGAUUGCCAUGAUUCUAUCUCCUACCCUCUUGACAUCUACAACAUCUUGUGUCAAGGUCUUGUCCACGAUGAUGCCAACACCGUUUCUCGUUCUAUUUGUGCCCGAAUACCAUAGUUUAAACCCUGAGUUUUCUAGAUCCUUUGCCUUACGCCCAACCCACUUAGUUUCUUGUAGGCACAUAAUAUUUAUCAUUCUCCUCACCAUAACUUCUACUACUUCCAUAGAUUUUCCCGUCAAGGUUCCUAUAUUCCACGUUCCUAAACGCAUUUUGCUCUCUUGAACUCUACCCUUCUGUCCUAACUUCUUCACCCUUCCCCGUCUAAUAGGAUCAAAGUACUUCUUUUGUGUGUCCCGUGUAAAGUUGAUAGGAGCAUAUGCUCCCAAACAACUUUGAGUGGAGUCGUUCGAAAAGAAGUUUCUAUAGCCCCUUGCUCAUUUAACACUGCAUCCGGGUGCCGAUGGAGAUACAGCGACCCUUGCUCAUUUAUCACUGUGCUCGGGCCACACAGCGCGCCACUUACGGGUGACGCCCUAGCUUUAGCGCGAUUUCGUUCUGGAUUCAUGAUUUUGUGUUUCAUUCGUCAAAAAUAAUUUUUCUCAAUCAACAUGUUUGUAGUUUCAUUGCUUAUGGUUUUAUUCAACAAUGGAGGGUGGGAGGGGUUUUUGAUAGUUGAAGUAGAUAAAUAAUACGUUAAAAAUGAUUUGGGGUGUAUUUAUAAAUUUUUUAUUAAUUUUUAAACCUAAUAAGGUCAAAAUUGUCAUUGCAUAGUGGAGUAAAUAAGUCAUUAAUAUUAAUUUUUAAUGUGGGAUGCAUCCAACAUUUUGUGGGGUGCUAAUAUAAAAAGCCUAUAUAUUUUGACGGGAAUAAACCGAAAAUUCCCUUUGUUUCUUCAUUUUCAUCUGAGAGUCGCUUUCAUUUUCCCAUAAGUCCUCACCUUUGCCGGAAACAAAAGCCUUUCGAUUCCCCAAUCAUGGGCUGUGCCGUUGCAAUCACUCUUCUGAUCGCCGCCGCAACGCUGAUCGUCACUCGCCUGCUCUACGUAUUGCACUUAACCGGCAAACCCCACAAACCCCCCAAACCCAGCAGCUCGAAAGGCUCAGCUCCCCAACCCCUCAGCACCCUAAUCGUCUUGGGCUCUGGAGGCCACACGGCGGAGAUGAUCAACCUCUUGUCCGUCCUUCAAAGAGACAGAUUUGCCCCUAGGUUCUACAUCGCCGCCGCCACUGAUAACAUGAGCCUCCAGAAAGCUCGCCUACUGGAAGAGAACGCCGAUGAGAGUUCGAGCUCGCAGUUCAUGCAGAUCUACCGUAGUAGGGAAGUGGGUCAGUCUUAUUUCACCUCUGUUUUGACCACUUUGAUUGCUUUGGCUCAUGGGCUCUGGCUAAUGAUCAGAAUCCGACCCCAAGUGGUAAUCUUUUCGCCUUUUCGAAUUUUCGCAUUUUCGCUAUUUGUUUCAGUUGAUAUGAGACAUUGGAGAUUAAAUUGUCGAUGAUCAGUGCUGUUGGUGUUGCAGAUUCUGUGCAAUGGGCCUGGGACUUGUGUUCCACUUUGUGUAAUUGCAUUCAUAUUCGAGGUUUGGAUUGACCAUUUUGAAUCUGUUGUCAUUUUUCUUUGUUAAGUCUUUUGCCAUUUUGUUCUGUUAUGAAUUUCGGGACCUUUUCGAUAUGUGCAGGUUGUGGGGAUUCGAUGGUCGUCUGUGUUUUAUGUUGAGAGUAUAGCAAGAGUGCAGAGGCUCUCCCUGAGCGGCUUGCUUCUUUACAAGUUACGGAUAGCGGAUCAAUUCUUUGUCCAGUGGCCUCAGCUACAGAAGAAAUAUCCCCGAGCUCACUAUGUUGGUUGUCUCAUGUAGUUGAUCCGAUUCUGCUGCUGCUAUACAUGCUCUAACGUCCAACUUUUCGCAAUGUAAUGUGCGUUUCUCAAGGUUUUAACUUCUACAGUUUAUUUUGUUUCGUCGACCAUAGUUGCCAACAUUUUAGCUUCUUACUAAUUGAAGAAGAGACUGAUAUCAUUGCAUCGAUGAGGAAAGUGUAAAGAUUGUCGAAAUUUAUAGUACUUUUUAGGGCAUACCUGAGAUCAAAAGUUAUGCAUUACUGGGUUCAACUUGUAAUCUUGUAUGCUAGAUAAUUUAACAGUGAUCGCAUUUUGGUUUAUCGAAACUAGGCUUUGUAUCUUUACCUUUUAAUUUCUCUAUCCUUCUCCUUUUGUUAUCGUUGAAGAAUAUUAGUUACAGCUAGAACUGGAAUGAAGGGCAAGCCGGAAGCACUCAUGACAUUGGAGAAUAAAGAAUGACACGUCAAAAAUCAAUCCAAUGAAUAGCAUAGAGAUGGUGAUGCGCACCCACCGGGUAAAAUCUCUGGGCUGAGAAAUUGUUGCUUGUUGGGAGAUUUUCUUAAACUCAAGUGUAUUAUCUUCUUCAGCUUCUUCAGCUGGUAUGAAACACAUAUUUGGAUUACCAUGGAGGUAGCUUCAUCUAUGAUUUAGUUCAUCAGUAAAAUCACAAAUUUUCUUUUAGUUGCAUACGAAUAUGAUCGAUCUGUCAACUAUUCGGUGUUUUUUCUUUGUCUUUUCAACAUAAUGUGCUGUUUACAAUUUCUGUUGCAUGCAAUCUAUCAUUUAAUGUAUGAGAUAUUAUAUAGCCGUUCAGGUUCCUCCAUUGCAGAUAUGUGCUGUAAUUCUACCGCUACAGAGUUAAUACAUCGGAAUGAGUUUCCGAUUUUAUGCAGAGAAGCCAUAUAAAAACAUGAAAACUAUAAAAUCUUUGUGCACAUAUAGAAAUCGACUUACCUAUGAUGUGGGGUUGUUGCCUUUCAUCAGGGCAAUUGGAAAGCUUGUAAUUCUGUUCUUUUGCAUAUAAAACCAGAGAUGAUCUACAAACCAGUGUUCUAAAAAACGGCUUAGGCGGUGGCGACCCGAGGUGUUUUCUUGCAAAUUGGUUGGAAAAAUCGGCUGGGCUCUAGGCGGGCUAGGUGGUUUUUUUUUUGUUUUUUGAAAUUUAAAAAAAAAAUCUAAUGUACAUGUGUCAUCUUACAAUACUCCUCACUAUAGGGGUGGGCACGGGCCGGGCUGGGCUCAAAAUUGAAGGAACCGGACCGGACCCAUUUAUAAAUAAAACGAGGCGGGGUAGGGCGGGUUUUGGAUUUUUCAAAAUGGGAUCCGGACCUACCCGACCCUUUUGAAACGGGCCGGUCCUACAGGUCCCCACAGGUCCAAGUGUGGGUGCGUCAGCUUCCUAGCAAGUCCACGUCUCCUCCAUCCUCAGGUACCACCUCGAGUCCUUCAGCCGCUUCACCGUCAUGAUAAACCCGAAUUCCAUCACCGCCUUGUAUGUACUUCCCAUUGUGGAUCCAUACAUAUAAAAUCAUGGCACCAUUUAUCCGAAAUCAACAAAAUCAAUCACUUUGUCUCUAGUUCCUUUUCAAAAUCAACAAAAGGGAUCUGGGUUUAUACCCUUUGAUUACAGGAUCCCUACACAAAUAACAACAUGCAAGAGACAUUUUCCUUCAAUUUUUCCUUAAUCUAAACAUUAGAAACAAAAUCGAAGAAGGAUGAGACUAAAGUCUAAACUCCACAACAAAUUCAAAAAAAAAGAAGAAAAAAAAAACCCAUCUCAUAUUUCCCACCAUACGGUACCUGCAGAUUAAUGAAAACCCAGAUGGGCUAGAUGCUCAAUCUUGCAAAAAAUUAAGAUCUGAGAGGAGACACAGGAAGACUAAGAACAGAGGGCAUAGUGGUCGACUUCGAUUCGCAUGGCGCUGACGAUGGUGGUGUUUGACCAUCUUGAGGUGCUGAUGAUGGGGGUCUUCGUUGAGGAGGAGAAUCGAGAGAUAGGUAGGGCGACGGUGGCGACGGUUCUGAGUUUGAUGUCGUCGAGGUCGCACAAAAUGCCUACAUAAAGCUGGUGCUCCACACUUUCAAGCACAAGAUAUCUGUCGUCAACGGCAUCCUCCUCGGCCGCGUCUCCCCCCAGAACGACGUCAUCGAGAUCACCGACUCCGUCCCUCUCUUUCACUCCCACAUCGGCCUCCUUCCCCAGAACGAGAGAUAGAUGGUGAAACAGCAGCGCCGGUUCUGAGUUUGAUGUCGUCGAGGUCGAGGAGGAGAAGACGAGUGACAGAGAGUCUGUGGGUGGGAGGUGACGAGAAAGAGUCUGAGUUACAGACUGGGGGAUGAGAUCCUAGAUAAUGGACUAAGAAAUGGGCCGGUUUGAGGGCCCGUUCUUCUCAAUAUUUGGACUCGGGCCCGAACCUUAAUUGCCAUAUCCCAGCCCCGCCCCGCCCCACCCCGUUUACUCUCCAAAAAAAUUGGAACCGCCCCGACCCGCGGUUCCACUGCCCAUUUGCCCACCCCUACCUCACUAUGGUUAUGUGGUAUAUAUGCUUAAUGUGUUUUUAAAUUUUGGACUUGUUGGAUACUCUUUUUGUAUUUUAUCAUUCCUUUAUCGGAAAAUUAGAAUCCUGUACCGUUUUUUUUAUAUCAUUUAGAUUAAAUAUAUGUGCCUUUUUAAAAUUUGAUUAAAGUGCUUUGACCAAUAGUCACCUCUAUUUUUUAAAAUUAAAAUAAUUUUUGAAUUUAUCCUUUUAUCUGCAUGAUGCAUUUUUCCUUAUUUAGUGGAAAUAUUAGUAAUUAAACUAUAUUUUCUCUUCUUCCAAAUAUGUUUUUCGAUCACAGUUUUUUUUUGUUACGCUAACAUUUAAUAUUAUUUCUUUUUCCAAAUGGUUUUUUGGUUUUCAAAUAGUUGGUGAUCAACAUAAAAGCUUUGUGUAAUUUUUUCAAUUUUUUUUGUGAAAUUAUAUUUUUUUGCUGUUUUUUAAGGGGCUUUUAGAUCUAGGUCCAAAAACAUAAAUGGUUUUUAGGAGUGAGUCCAGUUAUCUAAUUACAUGUUUUUAUUUCUUUUAUACUCAUUUUAUAUUUUUGUCUAAAAAUAUUAAAAUCAAUUAAAAUAUUCUAAUAUUAUGCAUUUUUCAACUCCAAAAAAUAUAAUUAAUAUCUUAUAACAAAAAAAAUAAUAUACUAACAUAAAUCUAUCUGUAAAACAUUCUACCUUAACUCAAGUAACAAAUAUAUGAAUGAAUAUUAUACCUAUAAGCAAGAUAUGAAACCUAACUAAAAGGUAGAAAAAACAUAGAUACCUACAAGCAAGACACAUUAAUCUUAGUUUAUUAUAAAAAAUCUAUUAUAUAGGUAGAUAAAUUAAUUAACUUGUGAUAUAGGUUGAUUAUAAAAAUUAAAAAUAAAAUCUAUGAAUGAGGUGUAAAGCAAGAGGAAAAACAAAAAAGAACAAAAAAUACAUAAAAAGAAAUAAUCAAAGAGAUAAUUAGGAAGAAAUUUGAUUUUUAUAAUAAAUCUUAUCGUUAAAGAGAUAAUUAUUGAUAAUAAAAAUAAUUAAAUUUAAAACUUCUUUUAAUAAAUUGGACUAUUCCUACUAUUGGCUCAAAAAAUUGGACUUAUAUAAAUAUAGUUGUUGACAAAUUACUAUUAUGUACAAUACAUUACGUAUAUAUUAUCUGUGUGUAUGUUUGAAUUUAAAAAAAAUCAUUAAUUGGUACGCUUAUUUGCAAUUUUGGUACGUUUGAUUUGAUACAUAUUGUUAAUAUUAGUACAUUAUUUUUAUUUUGGUACGUUUUAUUUUGUACACAUUGUGUAUUGGUACGUUUCUAUUAUUCUCAAUCCUAUUUUCUCUUAACAUACUAAAAGAAAAACUUAUUUCGGUACGUUUGAUUUUGGGGGAUUUAAAAAUAUUUUAAACUAUUUUGCAAAGAAAAUAUCUUAAAUUGUAGAUAAUUAUUGCUAAAUUGUAGCAUUAUUGUGAAAAUAAAUUGAACCUAACCAACUUUUUAUUUUUAUUUUUUACAAUUAUCUCUAUCGGAUGAUAGUGUAAUCAAAAUGCUAGAUUAUAGGAAAUUUGAUACAAUAUAAUGUGCAUAUAGCACCAAAAUUAUGACAAAAACAAGUUUAAUCAAAUCACUAAAAUGCAUGAAUGUUUGAUCUAGAAAAUUCAAAAUUGAGGCGCCUAUAUCAAAAGAUCCCUUCUUUAUUAUCUUAUCUAUGGAUUUCAUGUAAGUGUUAAUAUGCAUUUAUUUGCAAGAUAUACAAGAAAUUUAACUAAAUCCGCCUAGACCCCGCUAGCCUCCUAAGCACUAGCCCGCCGCCCGACUAGUGCCUAGCGUUUUUCAGAACCUUGCUACAAACAGAUCUCUUUUUUCAAUCAUUUAAAGCUUUCGGAACUUCAACGUUCCUGGAAUUUCUAUUCUCCGCCUUGGACUUACGAUCUUCGAUGUAGUGAUGAUACGCGUAGGAAACAAAUCCCCAAAUACCCAAAACCAUGGCUAUUCCCUUAAUUCCACUCAUUUUUUCAUGGAAGAAGAUCACAGCUAAAACUGGAACAGCAGGCAAACCCAAAGCACUUAUGGAAUUGGAGAAGAGGGAAGAGGCCUCCAAAAUCAAGCCUACCGUUCCAACUGAAAAAAGCUGCCAUGUUAUUGCUGUCCAAGUCACAUUCAUCACAUAGGAUAUCUUCCCUAAUUUAUACCCCUCCAUCUCACCGUUCAAAUGCUUCCACUCUCCGCUAGCAAAAAGUCCGACGGCGGUAACACAGGUUGCGACCAUAUUUUCACACACUAUCAGGUCCAUGACCGCUCUAAACGUCCCCUGUUUUAUAACCCUUCUGAAGGCAAGCUGAGUUAGGGAAAGCAAUAAUCCGGCUCCGGCUGAUGCCCCUAAGGUGCAUAUGAACCCAAUUGCAUACUUUGCCUUCAAUCCUCCACUUGGAUCAUCGUCUCCAGAGUCGUCUUCACCUUGGAACACAAGGAGGGUGGAGGAGAUGGUGAGGAGAACUAGAGAAUUGACAAUGUAAGAAGUGAACUUUUGCGCGUUGAGGAAGAAGGAGAAAAACGCGUUGAAGGCCAAUUGAGAUGCACAAAUGAGGGUAAAAGUAGAUACAGGAAGGUAAGAUAGUCCUACGGAAUACAAGUAGCAGUCUAGGGCUAUUAGGAUGCCAAGAGAGACAUAUACUGAUGCGAGAAUUUUGGUAGACGGUGAUUUUGAUGGGAUAGGACUAUCUUUUGGGAUUGGAUUAUUUCUGCUUGCUGGGAUGCAAUAGUAGGGAAGCAUGAUUGGAAAGCCACAAAGUUGUACUACUGUUGCCAUCCAUUUACUUUUGGCGCCUUUGUCAUAGUACUGUCUUCCCAAGAAUGUUGCAAUUGACUGGCCGGCAAUGACAAGGAACGAGUAAAUGGCGAUUCUAAUCCACCAGUUGACACUUCUGCGCUGCGGUAGCAGUGAUCGGUCGGAGACAUGUGUAGGCCCUGAUAAGUUUGCUUCCCUUUCUCCAUUUCCUUCCUUAACUAUAAGAACAGAGACAAGGGAUCAGUAUUGAAACUUAUGAUAAUAACAAGGUUGGGAUUUUGUAGAAUUCUCCCCCCAUAGCCACCCCAACUUGUAAUUUUUAUGACUCAUAAAUUACAAUAAGAAUAUAACUCACUUCUCAUAAUUUGAUUCGCUUAACACAUAUCAUUUGAAAGUUCUAGAUAGAUUGGUCCAUAGUGUUAUCCAGGUAAAUGAACAACUGGAUAUGCGGCCAAGAAUUCCGGUGCAUACUGAAUAAACUUUAUAUCAGUUGCUUUAUAUACUCAGAAAAUAUCAUAUUGAAUAGAAGUAGACUUACCCCCGAUGCUGAGUUGAAGUUCUUGAGCUUCUCCCAUGUCAAAGAUGAAAAUACUCACAAUUGAGGAGAGAGAGAGAGAGAGAGAGAGAGAGAGAGAGAGAGAGAGGUCACUCACAUAAGUUUAGUAAAUGACAUGCAUGCAAUUUCGGAAUAGAUAUUUCCAACUGAAAGUUAUAAUAGCUAGCUUGUAUUAUUGUUGCUUAUUUAUAUUUUUUGUAUCCUCAGAAACUGCAAGUUACAGACAGUAUCAUCACAUUCAUGAAUAAUAUACGGACCAAACUGGAUCAUUCGUUUUUGUUUGAUACACGACUCUACCUCUUUUCAGACGGUUGAUAUUAUCGAAGAAACAAGAUAUUGAUACUUCCCUUUUUCGGCCCCGCAACGCGUACGUAUAUUAUGAACACUCCUUAUACAGUAUAGCAUACGUGGUAAAUAGCGGUGGCCUAAAGUUUUCAGUUUCAAAGAUAUAUAGUAGUAUUUACUUACUUGAAACGAAGAAUCAUCAAACAUAUAUACUCCUUCUGAAAGAACUAUGAGAAUAUCAACCUCCAAAGUUGGCCUCUUCUAGGCAGUAGACUAGUAGUUGAUCAUGUUCUGAGCUUCAUUUUUCGGAAUAGGAUCCUCUCACAGGGAUUUGGAUGAUCAAUUAAUCAUGUCCGUUCAUCAUAUAUCGUACGGUUAUAAAUCAUUUUAAUUUUUAAUUUAAAAUUAAAUAUAAAUAGUAUUUAACAAAAACUGAUCGCACGAUGUACGACAAAUGAAUACGAUUGAUUGAUUCCAGGAUCUCUACAAAACGAAUCCAAAGAGGAUCCUUGUCCUCACUUUUCCAACUAAGAAUCAUCAAAGAUUCAAAUGUAAAUCCUCCUUCCGAAAGCGCUAAAAGAAUAUCAACCUCCAAAUUUGGCCUCUUGUAGGUAGUGGACUGGUAGUUGAUCAUGUUCUGAGCUUCACCUCUCCAACUCAAGAAAAAUCACUCAUUAAAUUUCAAGACAACAGCUUGUAGACUUCUAGGGUUCCUACUAUAUGUCAAAUCUUGAUUAUUGCAGUGAAUGAUAAAUCACAAAAGAAAUCUGCUAAUCUUUGCUUCCAGCAAGUGCAAUAUUUUUUUAUUAUAUACAUUGGAGAUAAUUCAACUGUAAUCAGAGUCUUGCCUUAAUGCAAACAAAGAAUCAUGUCAGAAGAUUAUUUAUAUUUUGUAAGUGUGGUUGUUCAUGAUUGUGCUUAUUCUCUAUUUGUACGUAUCAAAUAAUUUACAAAUGUGGUAUAAAAAUAAUAAUCUUCCUACUGUAAGAAAAAAAAUUUAUAUAAAACUAGCAAAGUGACUCAGUUGUUUCUCAAUAUUUAUUUAUUUUUAUACGUGCAAAUUGACUUUCUACCCAGAAGAAUAAUAAUAAAUAAAUAACAUCGUGAUAUUCAUUAUUUUAUGAACAGUGUCAAGUCAUCAUCAUGCCCUAGCCAACCUUAUCCAAUAAUUGAUGAAAUUUCAACUGAGAUGGCUACGAUUGUUUGUAGUCAUGGGUCCAUGGCUUACUAGUUCAUCAACUACUAGCUACCAGCACAAAACAUCAUAAUUAUAUCAUAGACAUCACAAUAGUAGUGAGUUAAAGUCAGUUUGACAGAUUUUACAACCAUCAACAACAUACGACGCGUAUUACAUACAUACAAAUCUUAGAUUAAGUAAGAUUCUAUAUCAUUAUAUUUGUUUAGGUCUUGAAAUGCAAAAGCAAAAUCCCUUCAACUAUUUCCAUUUUUGUUCUCUAUCUUGGACUUAGGAUCAUCAAGGUAGUGCUGGUAAACAUAUGAAAUUAAUCCCCAAAUGGCCAAAAACAAGGCCAUUGCCUUAAUCCCGUCCAUUUUGUCAUGGAAGAAAAUCACAGCUACAACUGGAACAACCGGCAAACCCACAACAUUAAUGGCAUUGGAGAAGAGAGAAGAUGCCUCAAAAACAAGUUCAUGACAUAUGAUACCUUCCCUAAUUCGUACCCCUCCAUCUUGUUCCUCAAACCCUUCCACUCUCCGCUACCGUAAAGUCCCACCAAGACGGCGCAGGUAACAACAAGAGACUGAUAUUGUAAAACCCCUCCCCAAAUUCUUUGUAAUUUUGUACCAAAUAUUGAUGAAAUGACAAUUUUACCCCCAUAAUCCUACCCUAUCCGGAUCCCUUUUCAGAUUUCUCUCAUCUCUUCAUCUGCCACAUGGCAGCCCACUAACUCAUCCCUAUCUCUCUCUCUCUCUCUCUCAUUCCCCCGAGUCAACACUCUCCUUUCUCUCUCUCAGCUCAACUCUAUCUCUCUCACACACUCACACUCUCUCGAACCUUUUCCCUCUCAUUUUCCCGGCAACACCCAACCACCCAACGACCUCACCAUAACCACCAGCCUCCCGAGGACCUUCCCUCCCUCUCCAUCAUCUCUGUGAAGCUCCGGGGCACCCAGAGGACACCCAACCCAGGUCCAGCGAGCCUGCGAGUCUUGAGCAAAGAUCCGAACACCAUUCGAUGUUAUCAAGGUACAAAAUUCUUUCCCCUCGUCCGUACCUUCUUUUUGGUAGUUAGAUUGUAGGGUUUAGUGGUCAAACGAUGAUGACCGGAGCUCGAGAGGCUUUGGCUUUCUUCCUCGGCGAGAAACGGGCCGGCUAGACCUAACCCAUGGAGCCCAAACCCUUUGAAAGCCGAAAACCAAAACCCUUGUUAGUUUAGGCCUUUGGGCUGUAUAGGACUCGGGCCUUAGGACCGUUGACCCCAAAUCCAAACCCAUUGAGUUUUUAUUUAUUUUAUUUAUUUUCUUUUUAAAAACCCAAAGGCAAUUGAGCCGGGCUUUCAAGCCCAAGCCCCUUAUAUGCAACCCAUGGCCCCUGGCCCGUUGAACCCAAAACCCUUUUCCCUUGGGCCGGGUUACUAGCCUACUGACCCGAAGCCCAAGCCCACUGAACCCAAGCCCAAACCUAUUGGACCCAAGCCCAAGAACCCAGGCCCAAAUCCGGUCCAACCUAGUAGCCUAGCCGCACGUGGAGCACAUGCGCCACUGUCUACGGUUGCUCCGGCGACUUUUCCAGUGACCCACGGUGGCGCGUGGCCGCUGGAGCCGCCACCUUGCGGCGGCGCGUCGGGGUACCCGAGGUCCCCCUUUAUGUUUUCCAACGUCUUGAAUCCUUUUAUGAUGUUCAUUUUUCGAAAUUCAAUUGUUUGAGUAUAGUUUUAUUAAUUGAACCCUUCAUGUGCUUAGGUGCAAUUAUUAGCGGCGUUUCCGUCCUUCCUAUUUUGUACGGCUCUUCGACGACGGAGUAUCUGUGAGUGGACCCCUUCUAAAAUGCAUGUUUUAAUAGUUGAAAUGCAUACAUGAAAAUCAUGAUUUAAUGGUUACGGUUAUGAAACGUUUUAUAAGUAAAUUGGAUUUACAUUAUAUGAUUAUCAUGCUUACUGAGAAUAUUUUGGAAUACCAUACUUUAUCGAAAUUAUGUUCUUUGUAGUAUAUAUGAUGGAUGACUAUAUACUAUUUAUGAACAUGUUUUUACACUUCUUUGUAAUAUAUAUCAUGGAUGACUAUAUGCUAUGAAGAUGUUUUGAGUUAUAUGUACCUAUGUUUGGAAAGACUAUGUUCAAUGAUUUUGUGCGUAUCUAGUGGUCACUAUUCUACCUACGGGCGAGGGAGAUAUAUGUAGAUGGCUUCGGGCCGAGAGAUACGUACUGGCUUCGGGCCGAAAGAUACUAAUAUUGAUACCACUAGUUAGCACAUUACAUACAAGAUAUGUUUCAUGAAAGGUUUUAUGGCAUGCUAAGGUUUUCAGAAAACCUAUUACAUAUUAUGCUAUUGAGUUUUCAUAAAACUUUGGGGGUUAGUACGUUGAUAACUGUUUCAGUAUUAUAUAUAUAUAUAUAUAACUUGGUCCACUCAUGUUUGUUUUGCGCCCCCUCAGGACAUAAGAACAAAGCGUACAAUUCGAGCUACGAGGCAUUCCCCUACCAGUGAUAUCGUGCCAUCAUCUCUGCUUUGACAUCAUUGUAAUAGCAUCUUCCGUUGUAUUUUGAAUUAGAUGUAUGCUCUGAACAUGUUAUGCACUAUCACUAUCUUCACGCAGAAAUGAAUAGUCACUUCUUAGUUUGAACGAAAUUUAUACGCAUGAUUUACAUGUUCUCAGCAUAUGCAUUCAUUAAAUGACUUGUGUCACCCUUGAAUGUCGGCCAGCACGUGGCCAUCCCGAUGUCCCUCAGACAUUGGGAUCGGGGCGUGUCAGAUAUACACUAUCAUAUCCAUGACCACUCUAAAUGUCCCUCCUUAUAACUUUUCUGAAGACGAGCUGCGAUAGAGAAAGCGUUAAUGAGCAUUCAGCUGAUGCGCCAAGGGUACAUAUGAACCCGUUUGGAUACUUUGCUUUUGAUCCUCCACUUGAAUCGUCUGUAGAGUCACCUUGGAGCACGAGGAGGGUUGAGGAGAUGGUGAGGAGGACUAGGGCAUUGACAAUGUAAGGGGUGAACUUUUACGAGUUAAGGAAGAAGGAGAAUAGCGCGUUGAAUGCCAAUUGGGAUGCGCAAAUGAGGGAAUAAGUAGAGACGGGAAGGUAAGAUAAUCCAACCGAGUGCAAUAAGCAGCGCAAGGCUAUUUGAAGGUCAAGAGAGACAUAAAUUGAUGCAAGGAUUAAAGUCGAGGGUUCUUUUGAUUCGGUAGUAGUACUAGUAUUAAUGUUUGUGGUUGGAUAUUUUCUUUUUGUUGGGAAGAAAUAAGACGGAAGGAGGAUAGGGAAGCCAGCAAGUUGUACUAGGGCUCCCAGCCAUUUGCUUUUGCCACCUUUGUCGUAGUAUAAUCUUGCCAUCAGUCAUUGCAGCUGAUUGGCCGGCAAUGACAAAGAGCGUAUAAAUGGCCAUUCUAAGCCACCAGUUGAAGGUUCUACGCACGGGAAGCAGUGAUUGUUCGUGAACAUCUGUGCACCCUGAGGAGUUUGCUUCAUUUGAGUCAACUGAUAAAUAGAAGAAAAAGAUAAGGAUCAGUAUUUGAUCAAAUGUCUGUUUUUUGUUCUACUCAAUGCGUUAACACUUCGGCACAGCCAGUAACUGUAAAUUCACGGAAUUAUGAAUGUCAGUAGUAAGAUCGCGUACAAUUAAACUCAUUCUCUAUACACGUAUACAUUGAUUAAUACCCUUUUGCAAUAGCAAGGUAUUAUUCCCGAAUUCCGCUGUAUAUGCACUUAAAAGUUAGAAGAAGAAAAAAAAAAUCAUACCUGCAAUAUUGUUGAGUUGCACAUCUUGAGGUUCUCCCAUGCCAGAGGUGAAGAAACUCUCUCAAAUGAAUGAGAGAGAGAGAGAGAGAGAGAGAGCUUAUUUGAGCUGAUCAGAUAAAAACUUGGCCACGUAAUUUUACGUAAAUGUGGAGUGGGUUGUGCGUCAUGUAACACGGCAAUGAAGAAAAAGCAAGUAGGAAAAGCAUGCAACCCAGAAGUAGGAGUGGAUUCGUCGGGUUUCUCCAACUGACACUUUUGAAUCUGUUGUCAUUUUUCUUUGUUAGGCCUUUUUCCAUUUUGUAUGCUGUUAUGAAUUUCGGGAUAUUUCAAUUCGUGAGGUGAUAUUGGAAAUGUGCAGGUUGUGGGGAUUAGAUGGUCGUCUGUGUUCCAUGUUGAGAAAAUAGCAAGAGUGCAGAGGCUCUCCGUGAGCGCCUUGCUUCUUUACAAGUUACAGAUAGCGGAUUAAUUCUCUGUCCAAUGGCCUCAGCUACAGAAGAAAUAUCCCCGAGCUCACUAUGUUGGUUGUCUCAUGUAGUUGAUCCGAUUCUGCUGCUACUGUGCGUGCUCUAACAUCCAAGUUUUCACAAUUUAAUUAACGUGCGUUUCUCAAGGUUUUAAUUUCUACAGUUUAUUUAAUUUGUUUCGUCAAACAUAGUUGCCAACAUUUUAGCUUCUUACCAAUUAAAGAAUAGACUGAUAUCAUUGCAUCGAUGAGGAAAGUGUAAAGAUUGUUGAAAUUUAUAGUACUUGUUGGGGCAUACCUGAGAUCAAAAGUUAUGCAAUAUUGGCUUCAGCUUGUAGUUUUGUAUGCUAGAUAAUUUAACAGUGAUCCCAUUCUAGUUUAUCGAAAUUAACUAGGCAUUCUCCUUAUGAGUUCACACUUCAUUUGAUGCUUCGGUAUAUAUGUGGGACUCGUAAUGUUUCAAAAUGUUACUGUUUCUUCAUACUGAAGGCAUAGCUCUAAUUCGUAAAUCCAGCAUGCGGAUUGAUAAAGUUGGAUUAGUUAUGUUUAAUGUACACACGUUUGUUACAUUCAAACUUGUGGAUUAGUUUUAGUGAAACUCCUAUAACAUUAAGAUAUGGCAAAACUCUUAUGUCCAACGAAAAGAAAAUUCGACAACAUAAUCCGAUAACUACUGCAGGACAAAAAAGAAAUUAAGUAUCGUCCGUGUCUUAUAUAACUCCUUGAAGAUUAUAUGAACACAAGUUCGGAUUAAACUUCACGGUGAAAGACAAUGGCCAGAACUUUUACUGAUCAUUGAUGGAACAAAAAGGUCUAGGUGAAUUGGUGAUGGAUGUCUAGUUGUCCAUCUUAUUACUCGCUCGGCGGUUGACCUCUUUCGGUAAAGGAAUUGUUGAAAUUUCUCUUACAUGUUUUGUUUCAGCCUUGGACUCUGAAUCAUCGAGGUAGUGCUGAUAGACAUAUAUAUGAAGCAAUGCCCCAGAGGGCCAACACGGUGGAAAUAACCUUUAAUCCGUCCAUGUUAUCAUUGAAGAAGAUUACAGGCUUUACAGCUAGAACUGGAAUGAAAGGCAAGCCGGAAGCACUUAUGACAUUGGAGAAUAAAGAAGACACCUCAAAAAUCAAUCCAAUGAAUAGCGUUAGAUGGUGAUAUACGCACCACCGGCUAAAAUCUCUGGGCUGAGAAAUUAACUGGUAUGAAACACAUAUUUGGAUUACCAUCGAGGUAGCUUCAUGUAUGAUUUAUUCAUCAAUAAAAUAAUUUUUUAUUUUUUUUACUAGCAUACAAAUAUAAUCGAUCUGUGAACUCCUCCAUUGCAGAUAUGUGCUAUAAUCCUACUGCUACAGAGUUAAUACAUCGGAACGAUUUUCCGAUUUUAUGCAGAGAAGCCACAUAAAACAUGAAAACCAGAGUGAAGAAUCUUAAAGUGAUGUGGGAGGUAGAGAGAGAGAGAACAUUCAAGUGGAAAGCAAUAGCCUUUCAUAAACACAAUAAGGCCUGUAAUUCUUUUCUUUUGCAUAAAACCAGAGAUGAUCUACAAACAGACCUCUCUAUUCAAUCAUUUAAAGCUUUUGAAACUUCAACAUUCCCGGAAUUUCUAUUCUCCGUCUUGGACUUACGAUCUUCGAUGUAGUGAUGAUACGCGUACGAAACAAAUCCCCAAAUACCCAAAACCAUGGCUAUUCCCUUAAUUCCACUCAUUUUUUCAUGGAAGAAGAUCACAGCUAGAACUGGAACAGCAGGCAAACCCAAAGCACUUAUGGAAUUGGAGAAGAGGGAAGAGGCCUCCAGAAUCAAGCCCACCGAUCCAACAGAAACAAGCUGCCAUGCUAUUGCUGUCCACAUCACAUUCAUCACAUAGGAUAUCUUCCCUAAUUUAUACCCCUCCAUCUCACCCUUCAAAUGUUUCCACUCUCCGCUAGCGAAAAGUCCGACCACGGUUACACAGGUUGCAACCAGAUUUUCACACACUACCAUGUCCAUGACCGCUCUAAACGUCUCCUUUUUUAUAACCCUUCUGAAGACAAGCUGAGUUAGGGAAAGAAAUAAUCCGAAUCCAGCUGAUGCCCCUAAGGUGCAUAUGAACCCAAUUGCAUACUUUGCCUUCGAUCCUGCACUUGGAUCAUCGCCUCCAGAGUUGUCUUCGCCUUGGAACACGAGGAGGGUGGAGGAGAUGAUGAGGAGAACUAGAGAAUUGACAAUGUAAGAAGUGAACUUUUGCGCGUUGAGGAAGAAGGAGAAAAACGCGUUGAAGGCCAAUUGAGAUGCACAAAUGAGAGUUAAAGUAGAUACAGGAAGGUAAGAUAGUCCUACGGAAUACAAGUAGCAGCCUAGGGCUAUUAGGAAGCCAAGAGAGACAUAUACUGAUGCGAGGAUUUUGGUAGACGGUGGUUUUGAUGGGAUAGGACUAUCUUUUGGGAUUGGAUUAUUUCUGCUUGCUGGGAUGCAAUAGUAGGGAAGCAUGAUAGGGAAGCCACAAAGUUGUACUACUGUUGCCAGCCAAUUACUUUUGGCGCCUUUGUCGUAGUACUGUCUUCCCAAUAAUGCUGCAACCGACUGGCCGGCAAUGACGAGGAACGAGUAAAUGGCGAUCCUAAUCCACCAGUUGACACUUCUGCGCUGCGGUAGCAGUGAUCGGUCUGAGACAUCUGUAUGCCCUGAUAAGUUUGCUUCAUUUUCUCCAUUUGCUUCCUCUGUAACAACAGAUUUACAAGGAUCAGUAUUGAAACUUAUGAUAAUAACAGGGUUGGGAUUUUUAGAAUUCUCCCCCCAAAACAACCCCAAUUUGUAAUUUUUUCCUCAUAAAUUACAAUAAUAACAUAAUUCACUUCUCAUAAUUUGAUUCGUUUAACAUAUAUCAAUCGAAAGUUCUAGAUUGACUUCUCCAUAGCAUCGUCUAGGGUGAAUGAAUAACUAGAUAUGUGGCCAGAAUCCCUGUCCAUACUAGAUAAACUUUUUAUCAGUUGCCAUAUAUGUUGAGAGUUGUCCCACAUCGGUGAGAGACAAUAUUUGCUAUGUGCUUAUAUGGUCUUUGGUUACUCCUCAUAUUGCGAAUUGGUUUUAUGGUGGAAUCCCAAUUUCAUCAUAGUAUCAGAGCGGUGAAUUGAUUUUAUGGUGGAAUUCCAAUUUCAUCAAUAUAUACUCAGAAAAGAUCACAAUAUACUCAGAAAAAUCACAUAGAAUAGAAGUAGACUUACUCCCGAUGCUGAGUUGAAGUUCUUGAGCUUCUUCCAUGUCAAAUAUGAAAAAACUAGCAAACAAUGGAGGGGAGAGAGAGAGAGAGAGAGAGAGAGAGAAGCCUUGUUUCAACUCACGUAUAUAUUAAGUAAAUGACAUGCAUACAGUUUCGGAAUAUAUAUUUCCAAAUGAAUGUUGGAAUAGGUUGCUAGGACUCUAGUCUUGUAUCAUUGUUGCUUUUCUAUAUUUUUGGAAUCCGGAUAAUGAGGAUUCCGAUGAUUCGUGAAUUGUGUCCUAUAUUUUUGGAAUCCGGAUAAUGAGGAUUCCGAUGAUUCGUGAAUUGUAUCCGUUCAUCGUACAUCGUGCAGUCAGAAAUCAUUUUAAAUAUUUUUAUUGAAAAUUAAACACAAACAAUAUCUGAUAAAAACUAACCAGCAUGAUAUAAAUGAAUGAACACAAUUCACAGAUUUCUAGAAUCCUCAUAAAAAAGAUCCGGAUCCUGUUGGAUAUUUUUGUAUCCUAAAAAACGAACCAGGAUCCUCUCCUGAGCAAUUCCAUAGGGAUCCUAGGGAUCCCGCAAUCUUGUCCGUUCAUUUUAUAUCGUGCGGUCAGUUUUCGUUAAGUACUAUUCAUAUUUGAAUUUUUAAAUUUAAAUUUUAAAUGAUUUCUGACCGCACGAUAUACGAUGAAUGGACAUGAUUGCGAAAUCCCUAAGAUCCCUAGGGAAUUGCUCAGGAGAGGAUCCUGUUCCCUAAAAAACUGCAAGUUACAGACAAUAACAUCACAUUCAUGAAUAAAAUGAUGGACCAAAUUGGACCACUCAUCUUCAGGCGCCUGAGAUCAUUGAAGAAACUAGAUAUCUACACUUCAUUUUUUGGGUCCCGCAACUUUUGUAUGAUAUAGUAUACGUGGGAUAGCGGUGAUCUAAAAUUUUCAAUCUCGUAGAUAUAUAGUAUUAAUCAGUGUUUAUUUACUUGAAAUGAAGAAUCAUCAAAUAUAUAUCCUUAUCAAAGCUCUAUAAGAAUAUCAACCCUCCAAGUUUGGACUCUUAGAGGUAGUAGAUUGUCAAGAAAAAUCAUUCAUUAAAUUCCAAAACAGCUUCUAGGGCUCCUAUUAUAUGUUAAAUAUUGAUGAUUGCAACAGAUGAAAAUAUAACAAAAGAAAUCUGCCGAUCUUUGCUUCUUCUUUUUUUUGUUAUAUAUAGUGGAGAAAAUUCAAACCAUAAUCAUAAAGGAUCACGUGGUAAGAAACUAUCUGUUUAAAUUAUAUUUUAUAAAUUAUAUGGUAAGAUUGUGUAUGAUUUGAUUAUUAUUUAAAUGUUUAAUUAACGUGCUUAUUUUUUAUUGGUGACACAUCACAUAAUUACAAAUGUUGUCUUGGGUGUAUGCUCACCCACGUUAACUUGGGUGUAUGCUCACCACACAUCUCCAAGCUUGCCAAGUGUCCCCUUGCCUUAACCCUGGUUAACUGUGAUUUAAUUACUCUUUAUUAAUUUAAUCAAGAAAUAAAAAUAAACUAAAAAUAGACAAAUAAAAAACCGUCUGCAACUUACCUUCCGAAGCGUUUAUUCAGUUUCAAAGAAAUUGUCCUCCUCCACCAAAUCAUCCAUGGCGUUUUGAAUCACAUAAAUUAUCUCCUAAUUGUAAUUUUAUUUAUGUAUAAUAUUCUACUGGAAAUUGAUCGAGCAUUUGAAGCAGCAAUGACGACCCUUUAUUCCUCUCACUUGUUAUCUGCUUCCUCCCACCUCUCACCACCCCACGCCAACCACCCACAAUUUGUAACAGUCUUUUGGGUACAAAUUUUCUUCACUUAUCUGUGCAUCUUUGCUUCGGAUGAAUGGAGGCAACCUGUGCUCCUUUCUCACGAUGUCGAUGGACUUCACCCCGUCAAAUCAAUUCACCCAUUCCCCUUUAAAUUUGUAUUAGAAUUUGAGAUUUUAGAUUUGGGAUAUUCGCCCAAAUGACAGAAAAGGGGGAAAAGUGAUAAGAGGAGAGAGAUGGGAGGGGGGAGGAAGGGAGGCAGAUUCUCUACCCUCCAAGUUCGGUGCCUUUCUAUUUGUGUGGUCACGGUUAAACCACGUCAAUAUUUUAUAUUACUAUUUAUUUUUGUCUUAUUAUCUCUAUAAAAAAAUAUAAAAUGUUGACGUGACUUAACCGUGACCACACAAAACAGUAGGGUACGGGAAGUGGGAGGGCAGAGAAUCUACCUCAAGAGGAAGAGGGGAGAUGGACGGUUGAGAUACAAAUAUUGAUUAAAAAGUUUAAAGAUAAAUGUUAAGAUGAUUAUUAAUGUGUUAUUAUAGUAAAAUAUUAAUAACAAAUGAAAAUGUUAACCAGGAUUAAAGCGAGAGGACACUUGGCAAGCUUGGAGAUAUGUGGUGAGCAUACACCCAAGUUAAUAUGGGUGAGCAAAAAUGCACCCCUAAAAAAAUGGUCUCCCUAUUAUUUCCUCAAAGGAUUUCUAUAAAACUUGCAAAGUGACUCAGUUAUUCCUCAAUAUUUAUUAAUUUAAUUUCUUUUUACUAGUGCAAAUUGACUUUCGAUUCAGAAUUGUUGGUCUUCAUUAAAUACAUCAUGCACAGUGACAAGUCGUGAUCACGCCCUUAUCCUAUAAUUGUUAAAAUUUCAACUAAGACGGGUACAAUUAUUUUUAGUCAUGGGUCCAUGGCUUACUAGUUCAUCAACUACUAGCCACCAGCACAAAAGAUCAUAAUUAUAUCAUAGACCUCGCGAUAGUAGUGAGUGAGUUUUAAGUAAGUUUGACAGGUUUUACAACCAUACAACAAUAUACGACACGUAUUUUACGUACAAAUCUAACAUUAAGUAACAUCUGUAUCAUUAUAUUUCUUUAGGUCUUGAAUUCUUCGAUGUUACACUUGAUAUGCAAAAGCAAAAUCUCUUCAACUAUUUCCAUUUUUGUUCUCGAUCUUGGACUUUUGAUCAUCAAGGUAGUGCUGGUAAACGUAUGAAACAAAUCCCCAGAUGGCCAAAACCAAGGCCAUUGCCUUAAUCCCGUCCAUUUUGUCAUGGAAGAAAAUCACAGCUACAACUGGAACAACAGGCAAACCCACAACAUUAAUGGCAUUGGAGAAGAGAGAAGAUGCCUCAAAAACCAAUCCCACCAUGCCAACAUCAAAGAGUUGCCAUAUUAUAGCUGACCAUAUCAAGUUCAUGACAUAGGAUACCUUCCCUAAUUCGUACCCCUCCAUCUCGUUCCUCAAACCCUUCCACUCUCCGCUACCGAAAAGUCCCACCAAGAUGGCGCAGGUAGCAACAAGAGAUUGAUACACUAUCAUAUCCAUGACCACUCUAAAUGUUUCCCUCCUUAUAACUUUGCUGAAGACGAGCUGCGAUAGAGAAAGCGUUAAUGAGUAUUCAGCUGAUGCGCCAAGGGUACAUAUGAACCCGAUCGCAUACUUUGCUUUUGAUCCUCCACUUGGAUCGUCUGUUGAGUCACCAUGGAGCACGAGGAGGGUUGAGGAGAUGGUGAGGAGGACUAGGGCAUUGACAAUAUAAAGGGUGAACUUUUGCGAGUUGAGGAAGAAGGAGAAUAGCGCAUUGAAUGCCAAUUGGGAUGCACAAAUGAGGGAAUAAGUAGAGACGGGAAGGUAAGAUAAUCCAACCGAGUACAAGAAGCAGCCCAAGGCUAUUAGAAGGCCGAGAGAGACAUAAAUUGAUGCAAGGAUUAAAGUCGAGGGUUCUUUUGAUUCGGGAGUAGUACUGGUACUAAUGUUUGUGGUUGGAUUUGUUCUUUUUGUUGGGAAGAAAUAAUAGGGAAGGAGGAUAGGGAAGCCAGCAAGUUGUACUAGCGCUCCCAGCCAUUUGCUUUUGCCACCUUUGUCGUAGUAUAAUCUUGCCAACAGCGUUGCAGCUGAUUGGCCGGCGAUGACAAAGACCGUACAAAUGGCCAUCCUAAGCCACCGGUUGAAGCUCCUACGCCGGGGAAGCAGUGCUUGUUCGCGAGCAUCUGUGCACCCUGAAGAGUUUGCUUCAUUUGAGUCAUUAACUGAUAAAUAGAAAGAAGAAAAAGAUAUGCAAGGAUCAGUAUUUGAUCAAAUGUCUGUUUCUUGUUAUACUCAAUGCAUUAACACUUCGGCAGGAUUUGCUUCAUGAUCAAGGCCUCUCGCACUUGCUAUAUAUAAUAAGCUUUAUCAUAAGAAAAACCAAAUCCAAUUCUCACAGCUAAUAACAGUAAACUCAUUGAAUUAUGCGUAUCAGUAAUAAGAUCGCGUAGAAUUAGACUCACCAUCUAUGAUUUGUACCCUCUCCCCUCUCUGAUAAAAUAAGUUUUUUUAGACCGAGCAAUAGCAAGAAGAAAAAAGUGAGAAAAAAAAGGACCAUACGUACGUACGUACCUACAAUGUUGAGUUGCACUUCUUGAGGUUCUCCCAUGCCAGGGAUGAAGAAACUCUCUCAAAUGAGAGAGAGAGAGAGAGAGAGAGAGAGAGAGAGAGAGAGAGAGAGGUUAUUUGAGCUGAUCAGAUGAAAACUUGGCCAUGUAAUUUAACGUAAAUGUGGAGUGGGGUGUGGGUCAUGUAUCACGGCAAUGAAGAAAAAGCAAGUACGAAAAGCAUGCAACCUAGAAGUAGGAGUAGAUUCGUUGGGGUUUUCCAACUGAUCGACACUUCCCAUAUUACUUUGAUAACUACUUUGUUAAGAUGACACAAAUUUAAUCACGGAAGCUAAUCACCUUCUCUUUGUUUGAUUUACGCAUGAUUCAACUUAUUUUAAGUCGACUGUUAUCAAAGAGAGUAUAGAUUGCAAAGGAUAUAUGAACCUCGUCAAUUUGCUUGUAUAUGCAUUUGCAUACGCAAAACCAUAACGACAUGCAUUUAUAUUACGUGGGAUAUUGGCUUUCGAUUGUUGCAACUCUUAAAUCAAUUAGUUGUUGGUCGAGCGAUAUUUAUUUUCCUCCAAAAUAGAGGGGGUCUCAAAUUUGAAACCCUAUCCUUCAUUGAUAAACAAAACUUAGAUUAAAUUAAAUUUAAAAUCAUCUCGCAAUGAUAAACAACUAGUCUUGCCAGUGAUUUGUGACGAAUUCAUAUCCUCUACGUAUCUUUGUGUUUGGAGCUGGCGGACAAGAGAAUUUAGACCACUUAAUUUAAAUCAUGCAGUCCUUAUUAGCUCAUCACAUUGGCUCACCUCACACAAAAACAAGCUCUUAAACAGUCCGAAUCUCUUUCUCUCUCUUCCUUGAACAGCCAGGAUUGUUUAGUCCGUCGACUUCGGACACAGAGAUUUGUAGAAUAUCUUAAUUCACUUGUGACAGUAUUUUGGACAGUUUGAAAAUAUUAGGAAAAAUGAUUUAUGUACACUAUUUUUCUCCCUGUGCACCGUACGAUCCUUUUUUUAUAUACGUUAAUUAUAUUUUGCUUUAUUCAAUCUAAAUGUGAAAAAUAACAAAAGUGUGCAUGCGAGAAAAAAGUGUAAAUCAUUUCCGAAUAAUGGGGUAAUGGGGAACUUAAAACCCAUUUUAAAGAAAUUCGUGGGUUUUGAAUUGAUGUGCAUCCUGAUUUGUUAUUAACUUGGAUCUUUUCUCGGAUGCUCAUACGGUCACAUGGAAAGUGUGAAAUAAAAAAUAUGGAACACUUUGUUUCUUAAGAAUUUCUACGAAACAUUGUCAGUCUGAAUGUGUUAAAAAAAUUAACAGUUAUGAAAUGAACAGUUGAUUUUGUUUAAUCAUACAAAAAUGACUAAACGACUCCAAAACAAAUGAAUUUUCUAAAAAUAAUAUUUCGACAAUGAUAAAGAGAAUGAACGGUUCUACUAUGACAUUUUGUAUGAUAAAAUAAUGCCACGCAGGGAAGGACGACUUUCCUCCGUUCCGAGAAUGAGGGAAGUAUUGGAUACAGUGGACCAUUUUAACAAUAAACAGCAGAUUCAGAUUGCAUUGCUCACGAACUUCUGAACUUUGAUUUAUCACAAACAGCACAUCUAUGUCACAGAGAUCUACAAUUUCUUCAAGGAUUUAACAAAACUGUGGGGAAAAAGAAAAAGAAGAUACAAAGCAAACAGCUAUAUAUAUUUUCUAAAGAAUUCUUCUCACUACUGUCGCUUCCUGCUUCCGGCCCUCCUACCAAACUUUCCAAAGGCAAAUCUAACAUCCACAUCCAAGCUUUCAAGCAGCAACGGAGAGUUUGCCUUUCUCCUCGAUACAAAAAAAUGUUGGAACUGCAAGCUUUUGCAGGCUAUAUUCGCAACCGACGUCUUCCAUUUCCCUUAUUGAAAUUCUUUCUAUAUUUGCACAUCCAACAGGAAACAUCUGUAUAACCCACUUUUGGGUCUUGAAUCGUUAAGCCUGUAAGAGUAAAACCCGUUAAUAUAUGAAACUGAACACGACAGCAAGUUUUGAAACUUCUCAAUAAAUCUAAAUCACAGAAGUUCUGCACAGCAUCUAAGAAAUAAGAAAAAGUGAGCACAGAGCAGAAAGGUUCUUACAGUUCAAUGAGGUAUCUGAACAAGAAUGAAUGAGACAAAAUACAAACAAGUAAAAAUGGCAGCCCCCGCGAGAAAAUUAUGAAGCAGCCUUUGGUUGUCUUUGGUGGGUACAAACACUGUCUUAAGCGUAUUGGUUAACUCGAAAAUCCGAUGAGAUACCUGCAGGACCAAGUCAACAGAACAGCAGGCACCAGGUGAGAAUUUGUAAGCACUGUUGGCUUGCAAAAUUUUAAGGGCUAAAUGAAGAUUGAAGAUUUUCUUACCAAAACAUAGAUGGCGGUUGUCAGCAUGAAGUUGAGCAACGGAUAUUCUGGAAUGACAGAGAGAAGCCACUUAGGCUGUCCAUUAGGUGUGUUUGUUCUGUACACGAGUAAAGGAAAAUUUUCAUGAGUUCCUUAUGAAAAGAGAAAGAAGCAUUUGUAAAGCACAAAAGAAGGCAUUUGUAAAGACUCAGAUGUGCAUUCCACUGGUGAAAAAACGUACGACUUAGUGGUCAUAGUUAAUGAAAUAGAAGUAUCACGUACCUCAACCAGAUGUGGAACUGUGAAAUAUAGGUCUCCAAAGUAAUCUUCCCAAGCCACCUAGCAUAACCGAAAUGAAAUUGUACAGACAAAAUGAGUCAGCAAAACCUUUCAUAAACACAAAAAACCACUUACGUCUGAACAAUUACUAACCCUACAAAAGGUACUGCUGUGUUUGACUUUCAGAUAAGAAUACGUACGCAAAGAGAGUCAAAGAGACACCCCGCAACUGCUGAGUAAAGUUCCGCAAGCAUAUAUAUACACUGAAAUCACAAUAAGUAGAGGUGAUGGUAAGUCACUAAGAUGAACAGAAAAAUAAAUAACCGAAAAUUGUAUGUGCCAUCUGAUAAAACUCCCAGAGAAUAAUUCCAUUUAAUACGAAAAAGAAACAAAAUAACACGCACGUUAUCGGAAUCCAUGAUGUGUAGGGGUGCAAUUUGUUGUAUGAAACCUUGUCCAGCUUGUAAAUAUAUUCAUACCACAGAUAACCAACCUAACAGUGAAAUAAUGAGCAUGAGAUCACAUUACAAGAUUAAAACAUUAGCCAUUAUAUAUAAGCAGGCAAUUACCACAACGGAAGAAACUUACAAAUAUAGAACUGGAAAAUAUUCCUGCUUUGAUUGAGACUCUCCUUAUGGUAUCAGAUUCCUCCAAUUUCUCCAUCCAUUUCUCCACCUAAGAGAUAUUACACUUAAAAUCUCAGCAGGUGGAGUAUCAAGAAAGCAAAAGCAACCAGAUAUAGAGAUUCAAGGGAUUACAUUAGGAUGAUAAUAGGCAUACAUCAUUCCAAUGAUCCAUAUGUAGCGAUCAAGUCCAGAUCUAAAAUGCCAUUCAUGCAGACGAUGGAGAUCUGGUUUAGCAGGAUCAGUAUACCCUGCACGGUAGGGAACAAGGACAAUAAGUUUGAGCAAUGGGUGAACAGUAAGCAAUUCAUGCACAGAAACAAUUCAAGAAUCCCAUAUCAACCUUUUCUUCAUCUUCUUUAUAUAAAGAAUCUCAAAUCAGUUUAAGACCUAUAUAUACAAGCUAGAUUUUUUUUUUUUUGGCCAAAACCUAAGCCCCUUAAAAGUAUUUGAACAGGUCAACUAUUUAAAGUUAUUCAAUAUUCAUGCAAUACAUAUAAAUAACUCACAAGAGGAUGACUAUCUUUUAUUAGUUAUAAACUGUUUUGUCUUACAAUAUUGGCCAAAGUUUCUGAGUAAUGAGCCUGCCCAAAAAUAAAAAUUGAAUAGCACAAAUUAAAGACUCUUGGAUGAGUGUAAUAAAAUUUUAAAAGUCCUUAGUUUUCCAACUGUAUUUUUUUCUUUUGGGUUGAAUUUCCAACAGUGAAAAACAUAAUAUAAAAAAAUUAUAAAAAAAAAAAAAAAACCAGAAAGCUGAACGGGGUUACUCACCCAAUAAGAAUGAUAAUGGAUGAAAGACUAAUUCAAACACUCCAGGUAUUUCCCAAAUCAAGAUAACCGCAAGAAAGCAUCCGAGAAUCUUCAAAGCCAUAACUGAUCUGAUCUCAUUGUACUUGCUAAAGAUGCCAAGGGCUCCAUACACCAUAAGAGUAUACAGAGUGUGCAUUGGACAGAUGUAAUAGAGCAUAUAGUCAUUGUUAAGAACAAUACAGCAAAACGCCACAAAAAAAUUCAGCCGCCACAUCAUCUGCAUAGGACAAUAAAGAAUACAAGCAUUUCAGAUCAUUGUCAUAAUACUCACAAGGACAAUUGCGAGAAUAUACUGCCUAGAACUACACUUUACCUGAGCAAAGCGGGCGAGGCUAAAAUCCUUUCUAAUGUAGUAAUAGGAGAAGUUUCCAAAUCCAGUCAUCCAAACAUAUGCAGCAAUAAAGAUGCGUAUUGCAUUGUAAAUCUCACUAGCAGCAAAGUAAUGGUACAUUAGAAAUAGGACCUGCCAAGAAGCAAAAGAGAUGAUUAUACUGAUAGUACAUUCAUAAAUUAAUCAUUAUAAACAGCAUAGUGAUCAAACUGAGCUCUAUAUAUAACAAAGUUUGAUGUUCAACUAGACGAAAACUAAAGAGUAGCGUUGUUGGGUUUCGCAACUCAACUCUGAUAAAAAACUAAAUGAAUAAAAGCCAAUCAAAUCUACAGAUUCAAUCUAGCAUAUAGUAUCCAAAUUUAAGUUCAACCAAUAACAAAAAUAUCAAAGGAUGACAUAUGCUCGUUCGAGUUAGAUGAGCAUGGACGGUUGUCACAAUACAAACACCUGAACAGUAAAAAUAACAGUGGCCGGUCACCACGAGUAUAAGUUCAGAAUUUCCCUCCUAAAACAAAAGAGAGAAGAAAUACCAAGAGCACACAAUAAGGAAAUAUCUGUACCCUACAAUUUACGAACUUAGAGAAGAGAACUUGCCUGCAUCCACCCUUUCCAUUCCUCAGUCUGAUGCCGAUUUAGGUAAAGUAUGGAUUUUCCAGAAAAUGCUGAUUUGUCAGUAUGUUUUUUCAAAGAUGUCAUUGCUGAAACUAUGACAAGGAUAAGGUACAGGAAGAUGAAAAGGUCCCGAUUGUAUUUCUGUUCAAAGAAGAACCACAUAACUAAUCAAUAUUACAACAGUAAAACCAGCUUAUUGUUCUUAUCAGUACAUAUCAGCAUGUCAUGAUCUGAAUAUAAAAGAAAGGAACUUCGUGUUUAUCAAUGUGUGACAAUAGUAACACUGCCAUCCCUAACUUUUCUUUAAUUUAAGCCAUAUAAAAGAUAGCAUCCUUUUAUAUCAGGAUGUGAAACGAUGAGCAAGAUAGGUGAACUCAGGGCACUUAGGCAGAAAUAUCAGUGAGAACAAAAGGAAAACAUGGAACUUAGGCAGAAAUAUCAGUGAGAACAAAAGGACAACAUGGAAAUAACUAAUAGAUUAGGACCUGAUCCGAUGAUAAUAGCAUCUGUGCAAGUUUUCCAUAUAAGUAACUAGUCGUUAUUUAAGAAUACAUUCAGGAAGCAGACAAAUGUACCUUCGUAGAAUCUCCCAGUAUAUUUGUGCGGUCACAUAUGUAGAAAUAGAACAGAAUUGCACCAAGCUCAGACCUACAAUUGUCAGGCAUUGAGUGUAAUAUAAGUAUAACAUAAAUAAGAAAUUUGGCCCUGAGAAGAUACAAAUUGUACUAAUUAGUAAUUACUUACAUGACUCUAAGAGUUGCUCUGUUUUCAAGUAGAAAAGAGUCAUCCAUAUUCAGAAACCUGGAAAUUCAUGAGAAGUGGAACGUGAGAAAGACUUUCAUAGUAAACUCAACAUGAAAAUUCAAUGAAGAUACCGUAUAUUAUAGAUGGUAACCUGAUUAAAUUUAUUUUGAUGGAUGAACUGUUAAACUUUGUAGAUGCUGAUCUUGAAAGGCCUCCUUCCAGCAAAACAGCUCGAUCAUCUUCCUUGAUUGUCUCCUCUCCCAACUCAACCAGAUUAGUAUCUGAAUGACUACAAUAGCAUGAAAAACAAAACAAAAAACUUAGUUGUUCCGCAUCAGAGAUUAUUGGCUGGUAACACCAUAUCUUUGAAAAUCCUUGUAUCUCAUUUGUAAUCAAAGACAUAUCUAAAGCACUAUAAACACUCAUCCAGCGUCUUCGUAUAUACUUAAUAAUCCAAAUUUGAUUACUUAUUUUGUGUAGACUAGUUGGGUAAAGAUCAAUACAUAGAAGUCAUCCCAAUUUGAUCAUAUUUAUCACUUCAUAUCACCAGUUUGAAGGUACGGAACUUACACUUUAGGAUGAGAUGAAGAUCUUUUAUACUCCAAGUACUCUGAAUAUAUCCAUGUGACAAAAACUGGGAUGAUUCCAAGCAAAAAUGACACCUGGAGAAUCAUAUAGAAAGCUUCAGUAAAUUUGCUCACUCAUUUAGUCCUUACAUUAUUGAUACCAAAACAAGAUCUUUCAUAGCGUUUGAGACAAAUCUGUUUAACUCAAAAGUGUAGCUAAUUUGAUUACAUAACAUCUAGAAUUGCACCAAAGUCCCAAACACAUCCAGGCACGUAGGACUAUUGUGUUUCCCAUGAACCAACAGAAACAAAGGCCUCUUGGUUAACAUACUACUAGAAGAAAAACAAGAUCCUUGAUCCAUUUGAGUAGAAAAUAAAAUUAUUAAGGAUGGUUUGAACAGAGCCAUUGUUGUGUAAUGCUGCAUUAUGUUUGUUACCAAGAUACAAGAUUUGCUACUUUUAACAGCUCUGGUGAUCAGCGGUGGCGGAAAAUCAGGAAGCAUUCAUAUACAGGACUCCUUUUCUAUGAGCUACUAUAAUACCGAAAUGCAGUAAUCUAACCAACCACUACAAACGGCAAUGCCAUUACGAAAUAACACAACUUUCUUCGGAUCAAGAACUUAAAACACAAAGCAAUUUCAUAUUGUUGAACAAAAAUCAGAAACCAGUAAUUCACACACAUUCACAGAUCCUGAUCAGAACUGAAAAAUAUCUUGGAAUUCAAUCGAAAUCAGCAGAAGAUCAAAAUUACGCAUAAGAAAUGAACAGUCUUGGCACUGAAACUGAACUACCUGUCCAGGCGUAACUGGCCCAGCGUCCACCAUUUCCAAAAUCCCCAAAUCGGCUCCGAACUGCAAAACCCAAAUCGAAAUUCAACAAUAAAAAAGAGUAGCAGAAUUGGGAAAUACGAAGCGUAGAUCGACGCAGCGAAAAGUACCUAGUUGAAGGAAGUUCAGAGACUGACUACUCUAUCGAACAUAGGGGAUAAAUAUGAAAACCUAGCUGAAGAUCGAUGAAGAAGAAGAAGAAGACGAUGUCGUUUAGGCUGUUGCUUGAAGAAUACGGGAAAUGUCGGAAGGUACGUCCCUCUCCAGUGAAGUUUGUUUUUUCCACGAGCGGUUGGUGGUGGUGGUGGUGGUGGUGGUGGUGGGGUGGUUGUUGUGGUUUAGUUGGCCUUUUGUUUUCUUUACAAGACAUACUACACGUCUGGAAAUUGAAUUUUCUUUUAUUUUAUGAUAAAUGUUAACUACUUUUUUUAUUAUCUUUUUUUAUUUCUCGUCACCUGUGUGAAUUUUAUUUUAAUAAAUUAACUAAUUUAGUAAAAUUAUAAAUUUUCCACCUUAUUUUGUUGGUGAAAUUCACUUUUCGAGUGAUAAAAAGAGAGGUAGAUAAAAAGAGGCAAAUACGAAAGGUAAAUAGUAUUGCUCUUGUUUUAUUAUAUAUUUUAGAAUUGUUAGUAUGCCUUAAAAUUCUCAUUUUAUUGUCUUUUCCUUUAUAUAUAGAGAUUAAAACAUAAUUAAGUUGGUAAUUUUCAAGUGAUAAUUGGGAUUUGUUUACUAUUUAGGACUAAUCUAAUUAAGACAAUUAAUUUGCAUCAAUAACUACUAAUGACCACAUCGUUGACUAGAUUUCUUAAUAGAAAUUUUGAACUAAACUGUAUGGGGAGUAUGAUUAUUUCCCUUCCUAUUUCUCUUCCUUCUCCUUAUCUCAUACUUUUUAUUUUGUCUUUCUUUUUCUAUAAAAAAAUUAAAAUAAGAUGUUAACAUGAUUUAAUCGUACCCGUUCAAAUAGGAGGGGAAAGAAUGAUAGGGAAAAACAGUGGAGAGAAAAUCAUACUCUAUUGUAUAGAGUGGUCUCAAUUUUAACAAGAUAUAAGUCAAAUGUUGUCAUUAAAUUAUCACACCUUGAAAGGACAUUUCAAAAAUUAGAAGUGUCAAGUAAUUUUUGUGCUGAACUAAGAAAAGUAUAUGGUUUAGUGAGAAAGGUGGCAUUGGAAAGGAGUGUAUAGCACGACUAAAAUACAUUAUGAAUGGCGCCAAUCAUGGUACGCGAACAACAUUGUUGAUUAACUAAUAAUUAAGAAAUUAAUUAAAGGACCAAUUGACCAUUAAGAUUAUGACUUAAGUUUGGAGGGCAGUCUACCAGCUCAUUAAGCUUUGGUAAUGCUUAAUGAUAUUGAAUGAGUUUAAAUUUUAAGAUUUGUAUUUAUCCACUACACAGAUCUCAAAAUUUAAACUUAUUUAACGAUGAUAAAUAGAGUGGUGAACAUCACCAUCACUUGAAGUUGGUGAGCAAAAAAUAUAUAAUUAUGUGCAUAUUAAGGAACCCACCUAAUCACCACCCUUAGGUAAUGGUCACCAUAUAUCACCAUUAGAUUAUUUUAAAUUUCGAGAUAUGGGUAGUGGAUAAAUACAAAUCUCAAAAUUUAAACUCAUCCAAAUGUGAUAAAUAGGGUAGUAAUUAUUACCACCACUUGAGGCUAGUGAGCAAAAAUACACCCUUUUCUUUAUCCAUUUUGGGUGUAGGCUUUGGGUAUAAUUAGCUUCCUAAUGCUUUUAUUACAUUUUAUGCUUGGACAGUUUAGGCUUUGGGUAUAAUUAGCUUCCUAAUGCUUUUAUUACAUUUUAUGCUUGGACGGUUUCUGCUAAUUUAAUACCAUAAUUUGGUUGAUACCUUGACAAACUUGACAAAUGGGACAAAUAUCUAGUAACUCAUACUUAAAUUUUUUUAUUGCAUGAUACAAAAAUAUUGUCAUGUGAUGUUUCUUAAGAAAACAUAAGUUUAUCAAUGUUUACUUAUUAAGAAUAUGUAAAGAAAAACAAAUUGCGAACUUAAAGACAGAAAAAUAAAGAACGAUCAUUGAAUCAAAUGCUCUCGUGUUUGUUUAAUUUACGGUUUUAAGUGUAUUUAAUUAUGAGUUUUAGAAAGUGAUCCAUUUAUUUUUUUAUUUUUAGGUAUUACUAAAGGUCGAAAAAUUAGAAAUCGAAAUAGUUUCUUUACCUCUCAUACCUAUUUCUGUUAAGCAAACAUAUCAUUACUUUCUUUUGUAGUAGACACCUACAAUAAACUAACUUUGUUUUACGAGCACCACAAUACCAAUAUGUACAUUAGUAUUGUUCAAGAAGAAAGUACUUUGUCAGAUGCAUAAAACUUGCCUUGUAAAUCAAGCAACUAGAUUUGUACUAAUCAAACAUUAAUUAAUUAAGUUUAAGGUCGCAUAUACUGAUCUGAUUUCCGUGUGGGUUUUAGUGUUAAUUACAAGGUGAUGCUUGCUCCCGGCAGAGGUCCCUCUACGGAUCACCUUUCUAUACCAAACAUUUUCUUGACGUGUUAAUUAGGCGAUGCAUAUUGCAGAUCCAAGUUAAAGGCUUCAAAACGUAGACCAUACACAUGGGAUCCAAAAUAUAUUAAAUAAACUAAUAUUAUCAUAAAGUUUUAUUAAUUUAUUAAAUCAAGAAAUUAAGACAAUACUUUCUAUAUUAGCACCCCAUAAAAUAUUGAAUGCACCCAACAUUAAAAUUUAAUAUUAAAUAACUUAUUUAUCCUACUAUGCAAUCAUAAUUUUGACCUUAUUAGGUUAAAAAUAAAUAAAAAAAUUGUAUAUACACUCCAAAUCACUUUUAACGUAUAAUUUAUCUUCUUCAACUAUCAAAACCCAUCCGACCCUCCAUUUUUGAACAAAACUUUAACCAAUGAAACUACAAACAUCUUGAUUGAGAAAAUUUAAUUUUGACGAAUGAAACACGAAAUCGAUGUUUCGGAAGCUUCACAUAAGGUAAGACUUCAUAUUAUUUAUUGUUUUAGUGAUUUUGACAACAUCGAUAAUUAUUUAAUCUUGCUUUUAAUGCGUUAUUCAAGCUUCUAUGUUCGUAUUCAUCUUUUAGGGACCACAUGGAUUACAUGAAGAAUUAAAUACCUAAAAUUACCAUCAAAUAUUAAAAUUAGACGACAUGGGUUUUAAUCGUGGAAUUGAAAACAACCCACAUAUGCUUUAAAUCCCAGGCGGCAUCUUUUGUCAAAAUUUUAGUCGGCAUUAUUUGUCCAAAUUAAAAGCUUUAUAAGAUUUGAGAAAUGUGGGGGUGUAUAGAAAAUAUGGGGUACGUAUAGAAAAUGUAAGGUGUAUAUUAAGAAUGUGGGGUGUGAGGGUAUUAUGGGGAAGUAAGUGCAGUGUAUUAAGAUAAUUUUUAAUUAAAAAAACAAAUAUGGGGUGUAUUAAGUAUGUGAGGUUUAUUCAACAAUUUGUGGGUUGUUAAUAUAAUUUUGCAUGGAUGUGCAUGUUAUUUUUUUCAUCAAAAGUUUAUGUUAUUAUUAUAAAAUUUUAUUCAUUUAUUAAAUAGACUCUACAUCAUGUUUUAUAUUGGGUAAUGUUAAUGACAUCAAAAUUUUAAACCAAAUUUACAAACCAAAUCAUAUGUCACCAAUAAAAAAUAAGCACGUUAACUAACGCUUAAGUAAUAAUCCAGUCAUCAACAACCAUAUCAUUUGGGGUUGCAAAUUUUGUUUAAAAAAUUUGGUUUCCCUAGCAUUAUCCGAAAGUGAAAACUAUCCAAGUCAAUGUAUAGUGAAACAGAGAAGAAGAAGAUGGAGGUUUUAAAAGAAAAUGAAAGCUUGUACUGAUAUAUUCUAAGUUGAACAAAUUACAUAAAAUGAGAGAGUGUAUUAUGUAUACUUUCCUACAAAAUAACUAACUCUGCAACCUUUAACAAACUCUCCUAAUAGUUUUCCUCAACUAGACCAAUCUCCAUCAUUCAAUUAUAAAACUAAUCUCCACCAUACAUCUGUAUAUUUUGAUUUCAAAGUAGGGUGCCAUAAACUAAAUAAGCACAAGGUUAAAACUUAGUUAGUUAAGAGCAUUCAUUCAAGCACUUGAGUUUAUUAAUUCCGAUUCUUCUUUCCCAAUAUCCCUUGUAUAUCAAUUAGUGGUCCACUAAUCCCAAACCAUCAUAUACGAAUGGUUUACAUGGAUCUAUAUGCUAAUAGAAUCUGUGAGAAAAUAUAUGAUCAAAAACAAGUUGAAGAAGUUUGUUCAUUGUGAUUCAGUUUGUAAAAUAGUGUUAACAAUUAAUGGAGGAAAACACAACCACCACGAUCCUAAGGUUGAAGCCCAAGUGAAUUUCACAUUGGUUCAAGACCUCAAAGGCCCAUUCCUUAUGACUUUGCUUUCUUUGUUUGUAGCAAAUCAACUCAGUGCAUGCAUGCACAUAGAAAAUUGAAGUAUACCCUUCGGUUCUUCCUUAUUUAUAUGGAAAGGGAGAUGUCAUCUAAUCAGACAAUGACCAUUCGAAUACUGAUCACAAAAUUUCGAAAAUAAAUAUCUCUCACAGUUGUUGGACCAUCCUGACAUCUUGUAUAUUAUGAUCAUGUUUUUCUCAUAUUAAUGUAACUACUUUUGUCUCGUUCGUUUGAUUUUUAAUACGUGUGUGAUAUAUAUUUGCCUAUGUUAAAUUAAGUUCAUUGGAAACAACAUAAUGGAAUGGUUUGGUUUACAGAUUUUACUUUAAUCUUCAUUUUCAUAACAUAUAAUCUAAAUGCCAAAUAAAUAAAUAAAAAUUCUAACUUAUUCUGUGAAGAAAGUUGAUGUUCUACUAUAAAACCAACUAGUAAUAUGACAUUAGUCCAAUUACUUAUAAGUACAUGCAAUGUUCCUUAUUUUCUCAAUGUGGGAUUUAUACUCUCACCAUGCACGCUCACGUGUAACAAAUUUUCAUGCCUAACACGUGGAUAACACAAAUCGGUGACGUGGACCUCGUGUGGCCGUUGGGCUUAUACACUGGAUAACGUGCUUUGAUAUCAUGAAGAAAGUUAAGGUUCUACCAUAAAAUCAAUUGACAAUAUAAAGAGUAGCCUAAUUACUUAUAAGCACAUGCAAAAUUCUUUUUUUCUCGAUGUGGGGUUCAUACUCUCAUCAUUAUGUGAAAACAUAAUGGAUCCCUCCAUUAGAGUAUGAAGGGUUGUGGUUGUUAGGUGUAUAGCUAGUAUUGAUAAGGGGCCAAUUAUAUGAAUGUUGUAAGGAGAUAUAAAGCGGAAAUAGAGCUCUGUGUGUAUGACCACUAAGACAAUACAAUAGUGCAAUACAAUAGGGCAUUACAAUUGCACUCUCUAUUCCCAACACCCUCCCCCCCCCCCCUUCCUCAUCUCAUCUCCCUCCUUUUUCUUUCUCUGUCUCUCUCUCAAACACUCAUCUUCAGCAUUAAUCUUAACAUAGUUUCACAAGCCAAUACUGGUUAAAGCUGGUCCGAUUCAAUUAAUAACAUUUGACAAUGCAUGUGAUAUGAUGCCACGUGUCAGCAUCAUAUCAAUAGGAAUUGUAACUAAAUUUUGUAUUAGGUAGUCGUUUAGUUAGGUGAAUUGGUUACUUUUUGUAUAAGAUAGGAAUUCUAAGUGAUGAAGGAUAUGUUUUGUAAAAGUUGUUUCAGUCAAUAAAAAGUUACUUCUUACAUAUGAGUAAAAGUCGAAUAGGGGUCUUAACAUUGGUAUCGAGCUAGUACUUCGAUUCUCUCGAAUCCUUUCUCAGUGUAUAAUCCAUGGAGUCUCAUGUUUCCGAUUUGGAAUCGAAAUUGAUGGAUUUCCAUAACGAAUUUAGGGCCACGCACACCGAUUUCAAAGCAACCCAAGAUGUGUUUCUUCAACAGCUUCAGGCCUUGCUUGCUCGAAAUGGAAAUGGUUCAAGAAUUUCAGGUGAAUCGUUGGAAGAAACGCAAUUAGAUCCCAAUCUUCCAACGAAUCAAAACCCAAAUUUAGGCCCCAAUUUCCAUCGUCAUAAUGCGACCCCAAAUUCACGUCAACCAUUCAUCAAGAUGGAUAUUCCUUGAUUUAGGGACGAUAAUGAUCCCUUGGGUUGGAUAUAUAAAGCUGAGCACAAUUUCGACUUCUUCAACAUCGAAGAAUCCAAGAAAGUAAAAAUGACAUAUUUUCACAUGAAGGGUGAAGCUCUGCAAUGAUUUCAAUGGGCGAAUUGCAUUACCAAUUUCCCCAAAUGGGAAGAUUUCACGAAGGUUUUCUGUCAGGAAUUUGGACCUUCAGAGUUUGAGGAUUUAGCAGAGAUCUUGGUGAAGUUGCAGCAGACUGAGCUUUUGAGGGAUUAUAUUCUUGAAUUUCGUCGAUUGGUGAAUCGUACUCGAGAUAUUAACCUUCCUCUACUUAAGUCUUGUUUCAUUGGAGGAUUGAAGCCAUAACUACGACAUGAUGUCAAGAUUCUAAAACCAACAACCGUAUUGGACGCUACUGCUUAUGCUCAAUAGGUAGAUGCUAAGUUAUCAGAAUUAAAGGUGCAAUCUUUAUCUAAACUCCCUGCACCUUCAAUACUUAAUCGUCAAAAUCCAUUUCAGAAUAUCACAAACACUACCGUUCUUGAAUCAAAACCGAAGGUGAAUAAUAUGAGGAAAUUAACCCCUGAAGAGGUAGAAUUCUGUAGAAAAAAUGGGCUAUGUUUUCAUUGUAAAGAAAAGUAUGUCCGGGGUCAUUAUUGUGAGAAAAAACAGUUAUUAUUGAUUGAUGAUCUUCAUGAUAUAACCUAUGUUGAUUGUGAUGCAUUUGAGGAUGAAAAUAUCGAACCAAAGAUCACUGCUUAUGCGUUAUUUGGUACCCCACCUCCAAGCUCAAUUAAAACCAUGAAAGUCUUUGGGUAAUCAAUAAUUGUCCUAUUGUUAUUCUCAUUGAUUCUGGAAGUUCCCAUAAUUUCAUUGAUUCAUCCUUAGUUAAACGUUUAAGGGGACAAUUCCUUCAAUGUCAAAAUAGCUAAUGGGGUUAAGGUGACUACACAAGGUACUCUUGGUACUGUUUCCUUAAAAAUUCAAGACUAUCAAUGCAUAACAGAUAUGUAUGUUAUUCCUUUGGGAGGGUGCAAUGCUGUUUUAGGAGUGCAAUGAUUAAGAACUCUUGGUCCAGUGUUAUGGGAUUUCGAUAAGCUUUAUAUGAAGUUUAUGAAAGACAAUAAGACUUUCUGUAUUACAAGCCUAGAACCUCAUACAUACCACUUACAAGAUAUUUUUGCCUUACAAAUGGAGAAGUUGUUACAACAAUAGUCAACGGUGGGAGCAUUUAUUUACCACAUUCAACCUGAAAUGGUGGAAAAGCAACAAUCUUUAGAUUUAACUAAGGAACAGAAGAAGGACAUUCAGAAAAUAUUAGAAGAAUACAAUGUAGUAUUCUUGACUCCUAGCAGUCUUCCUCCUCACAGAAUCCAUGACCACAAAAUUCCAUUGGCAGAGGGCAAUAAACCAUCAAGCAGCAGACCUUGUAGAUAUAGUCCAUUGCAGAAGACUGAGAUCGAGAAGUGUGUGCAGGAAUUACUUGAAGCUAGGUUUAUCAGAGUGAGUAAUAGUCCUUAUUCUUCACCAGUGAUUCUUGUUCAUAAAAAAGAAAGAACCUAGAGGAUGUGUAUAGAUUAUAGAGGCCUUAAUUGGAUCACAAUCAAGGAUAAGUUUCCCAUUCCUCUCAUAGGUGAGCUACUUGACGAACUUUGUGGUGCACAUUAUUUCUCUAAGUUGGAUUUGAGAUCGGGUUAUCACCAAAUUCGGACGCAUCCUGAUGAUAUUGAAAAUACUGCGUUCAGAACACAUGAGGGCCAUUAUGAAUUUUUGGUAAUAUGCCAUUUGGCCUUACUAAUGCACCAGCAAUGUUUCAAAGCUUAAUGAAUGAAAUUUUUGGUAAUAUUCAUUAUCUCAGGAAGUUUAUCCUCGUUUUCUUUGAUGAUAUUCUAGUAUACAGCAGGACUUGGGACUCACAUUUGGAGCAUCUUAGAUUGUUAUUUGGGAUUUUACAAGCUAAUACUUUGUAUGUAAAAAAGUCUAAAUGUGCUUUUGGCCAGAGAACCAUAUAGUAUUUAAGACAUGUGGUCUCUAAGAAAGGUGUUACUACCGAUCUUUCAAAACUAGAAGCUAUUACCCAAUGUCCAAUUCCAAUUUUAGUUAAAGCUUUGAGAGGAUUUUUGGGUCUUACGGGAUAUUAUAGGAAGUUCAUUCCUAAUUUUGGUAAGAUAGUAGGUCCCUUAACUGCCUUGACUAAGAAGGCUAGCUUCAAAUGGAUUGAAUAAGCUAUUACAGCUUUCCAAUAACUCUAGGAAGCUAUGUUAUCGCCUCUGGUUUUAGCAUUACCUGACUUUAGGCAAACCUUUAUCAUUGAAAACGAUGCUUCAGGCCAUGGAAUCAUAGCUCAUUUGCAAAAAAAUGGAUGACCUAUUGCGUUUACUAGUAAGGCAUUGAGUCCGAGGAACCAAUCUCUAUCAGCUUAUGAAAGAGAGAUGAUGACGAUAGUUCAUGCCAUCAAGAAAUAGCAAUCUUGCUUGGUUGGGAGGCAUUUUAUAAUCAAAACGGAUCAUCACAGCCUCAAAUAUUUCCUACAAAGUAGAGCUCAUACACAUUUUCAACAGAAAUGGGUAUCAAAAUUGUUGGGUUUUGACUAUGAAAUUCAAUACAAGCAAGGUUGUGACAACCAAGUUGUAGAUGCACUUUCCAGAUUACCUUUAUCUUCUGCAGAAUGUUCUAAAUUAUUUUUGCACAAUCAAGAUUGCUUAGAGCACACUAAGUUCAUGGCCAUCUCUUAUCCAUACAUGAGUUGGAUGGAUGAUAUUAGACGACAUGUAGAAUCUGAUGAAUGGAUUAUUGCUAAAACUAAACAAGUUUUAAGCAAUAUGACUGAUUCUGCUCCUAUUGGCAACUUGAGGUUUCAUGUGGACAAUGGGUUCCUAAAGUAUAAGAAUAGGAUUGUUCUUAGUCCUCACAGCCAAUGGAGACAAAAGAUAUUUAACGAACAUCAUAGCAGUCUAGUGGCAGGCCAUACAGGUUUCCUCAAAACCUACAAGAGGCUUUCUAAAACAUUCUACUAGGAAGGUAUGAAGAAAGAUAUUAAAGAUAUGGUGGCUAGUUGUGCAGUGUGUCAACAACACAAAUAUGAAACUCUUUCACCAGCUGGGUUGCUUAAACCUCUGCCAAUUCUAUCUCAGAUUUGGUCUGACAUCUCUAUGGAUUUUAUCAUUGCUCUACCACCUUGCAAAGGUAAAACGGUGACUUGGGUUGUAGUGAAUAUGCUAUCAAAAUAUGCACAUUUUGUAGCAUUGGCUCAUCCUUACACUGCGUCUUCUGUGACUAAUCUUUUUUGUUGAGAACAUCUUCAAAUUACAUGGCAUGCCUACAUCUAUAAUUUGUGAUAGAGACCCUGCUUUCCUGAGUGGACUUUGAAAGAAUUUUUCAAAUUGCAAAGGUCAUUCUUGUGUUAUAGCUCUAGUUAUCAUCCUCAAACGGAUGGAUAAACAGAGGUGCUGAAUAGAUGUUUGUAGACCUACCUGCGCUAUUUUUGCAGUCUUCAACCUAUAAGAUGGGCAUUUUGGCUACCAUGGGCCGAAUGGAGUUACAAUACCAACCAUCACACUGCCACUAAUAUGAUGCCUUAUGAAGUGGUAUAUCCAAGCUCCUCCUGCAGUUCCACUUUAAGAAGCUGGUACUACUAAGUUGGAGAUGGUGGACAGAAGUUUGCAGGAGAGGAAUCGAGUUUUAUCAUUACUCAAGGCCCAUUUCGAGGCAGCUCAGAAUAGAAUGAAGAUUCAAGCUCAUAAACACCGAACCGAUAGGGAUUUUGAUGUUGGUGACUUGGUUUAUCUGCGAUUAAUACCCUAUAAACACUUGUCUCUAGCGUCUCACCCUUUUAACAAGUUGCAACCUAAGUUUUAUGGUCCGUUUGAGGUAUUAGCAAGGGUUGGUUCAGUGGCUUAUAAGUUGAAGCUACCUACUAACUCCAAACUCCACCUUGUCUUUCAUGUUUCUUGCUUAAAGAAGCAUUUGGGUCCUGCAAUACAACCUACAAUUUUUUUUUGUCGACAAUACAACCUACAAUUCAACUUCCAGUAAUUACAGAAGCUGGAAUUCUAUAGGAUGUGCCUAUUCCAAUUUUGGAAAGGAGAAUGGUUAAAACAGGAAAUGCCGAUGUGACUUAAGUGCUAGUUCAAUGGAAAAAUCACUCAAAGUAUGAUGUGACUUGGGAGGUGUAUUCUGUGUUGAAGACCAAAUUUCCAGCUGCCACAAAUCUUUGAAGCCUUGCAAUUAAAGGGUCAUUUUAGGGGGGGGGGGUAUUGAUAUGAUGCCAUGUGUCAGCAUCAUAUCAAUAGGAAUUGUAACUAAAUUCUGUUUUGGGUAGCCGUUUAGUUAGGUGAGUUAGUUACUUUCUGUAUAAGAUAGGAAUUCUAAGUGAUGAAGGAUAUGUUUGGUAAAAGUUGUUUCAAUCAAUAAAAAGUUACUUCUUACAUCUGAGUGAAAGUCGAAGAGGGGUCUUAACGGCAUGAUCAUGUGGACAUGAGACAUACCUAUAUUUUGGAGACAGUAGACCCGCAGCCUACAUAAUACGAGAAGGAAUUUGUAACAAUUGCGUACUAUUUGCAAACAAAUUAUUCAACGAGUUAUAAUAUGCACAGAAACUAGAAGAAAAUUAUUAUAUAUUAAACAAGUAAAAAUCCAACACUGCUGCAUGAAAGCAAGGCUGUCACGGCAAGGAUCUUGCGUUACAUUAAUCCGUAAAUAAGAAAAACCUGUUGCACCACUUGUAUAAUACAAGCAAUUAAACAUGAGGCAUGCAAUCCUCAAUUCACAUGCACAACGUUCUCGCGAACCACUAUACAUAAAUAAACUCAUCAUCUUACAAAUCCAUUUGAUUUCCUAUAUAUGGUAGCAGUUCGAGCUAGCAAAUUACCUCCAAAAUGGAAGACCUAAAAGCUUACACUGCGAGAUUAGAGAAAGAGUCAAACUCUCUUUGCCGAUAAUAAGUGCUCUAUUGCCAAAGCUAUCAGCAGUUCCUGCCUCACAAAUAUGAGUGGAAUUAAAAUGAUUAGAAGUGAAGGGUACGUAGAUAUGCAACCUAGCUAGCUCACUAAUUAAAAAUAUAUGUCAAGGAUGAUCAAUCAAGAUCAUGAGACUAGCUACUAUAUAAAAUAAUUAAUCGUAUCUACAAAUUAACGAGCUAGAGAUCGAUCGCGAGGGAGAUCAUCAAGGCUCUUGUUUGAGGAACAUGGAAGGAACCAAGUCCUGCAAAAGUCCAUACUGAUCAGCAGCUCCAUGAGGCAGUUGAUACUGCUGCAGAUGAUAAUUAGGGUUUCGUGACGAUCCCUGAUUAGCAUUGUUACUGAUCAUGUAUUGGGGCAUUUGAAACAAGAAUUCCUGAGAAAAGGCAGAGCUCGGGCCACCACCAGCCAAGGUUGAGAAUGUACGCGUGGCGGGUGCUAGGUUUAGCAUAGAAGGUGGGAACAAUGCUGCAGCCGCAUUUCCUCUAAGGGUUGCUGGAAGUGGGUGGUUGUGCUGACCUUCGUAUGUCGUAAUCACAGUGGAUGGGUCCUCGUACGACCUCUCUACGCGUUUCUUGACCCCGCAUUUUUGUGUCGUACACCGGUAGUAGCUUCUGCAAUUGGCGACCGCAGUACAUAUAUAAUUAGAGAGUCGUGCUAAAAUCAAACUUAGAUUUUUUCUGUCAACAAAUUUUUUAUUUUUACUACCAAACAAAUUAAGAUUUGGCGGAUUAAUUAAUCUUGCAAUAAUCAAAUGGUUUUUUCUUGAUUUAGUUUAGCUUCAUUACCCGUAACUCAGAAUUUGCGAGAUUAAGAUUACUUAAUAUAUAUAGGACUAAAUUUUGGGAUCAUAUUAUAAAAAAUUAGUGAACCUUUGGUUUUACUGAUUAAUAAGUCUUAUGCAGGACUUUUUGGCAUAAUUUGAUGGAGUAAGAUUUAAAAAAUAAAUUAAAUCGCUGAAAACUAUAGCACGUGAAUGAAACAAACUAGUCAACUUUCGAAUAUAUUGCUUAUUUUUCCUGUUUAAGGGGUUUUUUUGGUGGUUUCUUUCAAGUGCAAACAAAGAAAUGAGCUAGAAAUUACACAUUAUAUAUCCAAAUUAAUUACCUUGGAUAUGGGCUAUUUUUCACAGCUUUCUGCCCAUAUUUUCUCCAUCUGUAUCCAUCUUCUAGAUGAUCAACCUCACUCUUGGUCAUGAAGGCAAAUCGUGGCUCUCUUUGCUUUUUCUCUCCCUUCUUCUUUGCUAGUUUGCUCCUGUUGGUUAUCAAAUAUAUCAAACAUGAUCAGAUCAGGUAUAUGAAUAUGUCAUUAAUUACUUAGACAGUAUCCUUGUUCUUUUAAUUGAUACAAGCUAUAUGAGAUAAGGGAGAUUCGAACUCAAGAUCUCGAAUGCAAGAAAGAUUGCCCUUAACUAACUGAAGCAACCUAGACAAUAUUAUAUGUAUUCAAUUCAAACUUACACUUUCUUAGAGCUAUCUCCUCCAUCUUCUGAUGACCCUUUUGGCUGCCUAUCUUUCUUAUUCUUACCACAGUCCUCAUCAGCACCAGCCUCAGCUGAAGAAGACGACAUGGAAGAGUUUGGCGUCAAAGGAGUUUCCACAUCACCGCCUCCGCCACCACCUGAAUAUCCAAGAUGAUUAGCAGGCUUUUGAUCGCCUUCAAUAGACGAAAAUAGUGCUUCAGAGGUCGAAGAUGACAAGCCAAAAGCCGUUGCAAGUGAAUUAUAGUCCAUAGAUCCUUUCAAACACUCUGUUAAGUUCAUGUAUGAAGGAUUCACAUCAAACCCUUGCAAAUUUGGCUGGUUGUUGAUGCUGACCAUCCCACCAUCAUGAUCUUCAUACUGAAAUAGGUCAUGGUAGUAAAGGUCUUUCGGUUCCUGAUCAGACAUGGAAGAAGAACAACAACAAAGACAGAAAGAAGAAAGAAGGGUUUUGGUUUGGAGGACUACUACUCUUUGAUUCAAGACUUGAAAUAUCUGUCUCUCUAAAUGUGGUUUGGUUUGGAAAAUACAUUAUGAUUUGAUCAUUAUAUAUAUAAUAAUGGGGAGAGAGAGAGAGAGAGAGAGAGAGAGCCUUUAAGUUUGAAUGGACUUUGUUAGCUAUCACUUUUAUGGAGGUUGACAAAGCACCUUAAAAUUGAGAAGACAAAAAAGUGCCUCCUCAAAUGGAAACAUUUUUAGUCCUUGCUACUCCGUUUAUUCAUACGAACAAAGUAACAAUAUUGAAGGCAUAUUCCUUUACAACAUUAAUUGAUCAUACACUUAUUACAUCAAUUAGUUUGAUUAAUUCUUAAUUCAAGGUAUCGUAUAAUACGAUCAUUAUAAACAAAACAUUUACUUAUCUCAUAUCAUCUAAACUACUAUCUUACUUUAUUAAUAUAUGUGACCAAACAUGCCUUGAGGAUACUCCUUGCAUAAAAGUUUAAGGAAAAAAAGCUAACAUAAUUUCCAGAUACAAAUUAGUUAUUUUCUUAAAUUUUGACAUUUCAAGACGAAAAAAUGAAGUAAAUUAAAAUCAGUAAAUCUUUUCUCAUCAAACUAUUAGAAAUGUAAUUAGAACAAAUAAAAUAAAAUCCAACAAUGUAAUUUUGUUGCUCACUAUAAAUAUCUCCAAGUAAAAAGGAAAAAGAAGUAGGGUAAAUGUUUGUAACACCAAUAAUUGUACAAGGUUAAUUUGAAAUGCCUCGUUUGGAUAAUUUACAUGUGUGGUCAAUUGUUCAAAGUUCGUGUUUGGAAUAUUAGGCAACACGUGGCACAAGUGGCACCGGUAUUUGACCGUAGUCUAGUCGGCACCAAUGGGGGCACGUGGCAGACCCCACUCAGCGUUAAAAUCACGUGCUUGUCUCUGCUGAUGGGAAACCCACGUCAGCCCUGAAUUCUGUAUCCUCUGCCUUUCUGUGACUCUUGUCGUCUCUCUCUCCUCAUCGUCCUCAAAGCAAUAAUAUAAUUCAUAUUUAUUUUCUGCUAAUCCUUUUUUUUUUCCUUCAUUUUUUUGGUCUGUGUUUUCUGGAAAUUCUUAUGUCGUCACUGUGCUUUUGAUCUCUCUCGUCAAUGCAAUUUUCUUGAUUAAUUUAGCAAAUUAAACCACACUUUCUAUGAUUUAAGAAUCGUUUGAGAAUUGAGAGCUUUUUUUUCUUUAUUUUUUUUUUCCCAACUACCGUCCACUGAAAAUGUUUAUUUAUAUAAACAUUCAGGUGCGUACGUAACUGGUAUGGGGCCAUAUAUACGGUUAUCAUGUUAGCUGGACACACGUGUAUAGUCUUCUAUACAACAGUGAUAGAUCUUGUCAUCGAUGUACGUAUAUAGUAUGAAAAACCAAUUAAAACCUAACACGUAAAUAUUUGUAGUCAAGAGAAUAUUUAGUAAGACCUAAAAAUUUUAUAUUAAUAAUUAUUCGGUCUCCUCAAACGUAAUAAUUAUUCGGUUUCCUUUUCACUGGUCUUGUUUGGUGAGAUUCUCCUCUUGCUUUACUUUGUUCGUAUCAUCUUGGUGAUUGUGUAAGAUUUCCACACUAUCACUUUAGAUAGGUUAUCUUUUAUUUGCCUUGUUAUAUCUUGUAUUGGUUAUUGAAGGUUUUGUUCAUUAUGACUAUUAUCAUGAUCAGGAUUAGGUUUUAUGUCCCCAUUGAUAGAUUUUAUUUUCCUUCUUACCUUAUUGUCACUUCUUCUGAUAGCAUAGCUAGAAUGGAAUUAACUUUGGUUUAAAAAAAAAAAAAAAAAAGUAGAAAGAGUAAAAUGAGGUAUAGGAUUCACAUUAAACUCUAUCAACUGUAAGAAGAAAAACAAUGUUCGUAUAAUGGCAAAGUUUUUCGACCGUAUGUAUACAAGAACUAAGCAAGUUAAAAAACCCAACUCAUGCUACUGACUCUCUCUGUCCCUAAAACCCCUGACCCCUCCACGAAAAACCCUAGAUCUAGCAUCGUCCUCGCCACCGACCCCUUGUUCCAUCUUGGGGUCGGUGCAGCCCCUCCUUCUUCUUUCCCUGCACCCCCUUGGCCUAUCCUUCUGUAUUUUCAUAUACCAGCGCCUCCCCUUCUCCACCAAAUUUGGGGGUACCCAACCUUUGGCUUGGAUGGCGUUUUUGCUCCUUUUCGAGGUAUUAUCACCUUAAUUCGGAGCUAGGCACAGGUUCUCCUUUGCCUUGGCGUGUUGGGUUGUUGGUGGACCGGAUCCACCCUUCUAGUUUGUUUCCAUGGUGGUUCCCACGGCUGAGCCGUCGUACUUGGUCCGAUCUGUGGCGAUAACGUCGUUUUGGUCAGAUUUGCGGCUAACCCUCCUUGUUUGACCUGUAGUUACCGCGCGUCUGCCUUUAUUGUGACAAAUUUAUAUCAGUAGUUCUCAGUGGUUUUUGUUUUUAUGGUGGUCAUCUAGGGGUUCUACUCUUUUUAUGUCUGUGUAAAUUAUCUCCAGAUCAAACUAUCGAUCACUAGAGAAUUUACCUAUUUGAUACCUCUUAAUUGUAUUUGUUGAUCAAUGAAAUCUUAUACCUCUUAAUUGUAUUUGUUGAUCAAUGAAAUCUUACUAUCGUUUCUUCUUUUUUUUUUCUUUUAAAAAAAAAAAAAAAAAAAGCACUAGGGAAGUUUAAGAUUUUUGUACAUAUGAGGGAUUGCUUGCUAAAACCGGUUUUUUGAACCAAUAAUUCAAUACAUUAUUGUUGACGUGUAUAUGUGGGUAGCUAGAUUUACAUUGGGAGACAUAACAUCCAAGAUGUCUAACCAAAAAAAGAAAAAAACCUCUCAGCUAGUCUUCCUCAAAACCAAACUGUUGUCAACUUGUCAACCACAUCGUAGCAAUGCACAAAAUAACACUUACUUUGAAAUAUUUUUCGAACGAACUUACUUUUAAAUGUUGAAUACAGAUAAAAGAGGAUUAAAAUAUUGAAGAAACAAAAUAAAGAAUUAUUUGGGCUAAAACGUGUAUAUACACGUGGAUAAACCUGUCAUAGUUAACACCAACUUAAGUUGAGGUUAUUGGCAGAUACGAGAGUAUUAGUUAAACGGCAGCAGCUCCAUGCAUUAGUGGUGAGUUGGUAGUUGCCCCUUGAUGGGCACAGAAGCACCCCACCACGAUAGAGAUCAAUUAGAAUGCUCUUUGAACUGUGUCUGGUUUGAGGAGCCCCCUAAUAUCCUUUUAGAUGUUCUGUUAGCGGAUAAUAGGUUGUAAGUGUGCUGGUGCGCUUUUCUCACGGCUUUUGUAUUGUUUAUGUUUUGCCCUUCUGUGAUCAAUAUAUGCUGCAGCUUUCCAAAAAAAAAAAAAAGAGGAAAAAAAAAAGCUCUUUGAACUACUUGAAGCAAUGUGCAAAAUCUAUUGCAUGUUUAAGCUUAAUUAGGUGUUUAUCUUGAAUAACUGUAUAUAUAAACCAUAUAAAUGUGGGAAAGGAAAAAAGAGCAAAGGUUACAUAUAUAUCACCGCCUACUUUAUGUGAAGGAAGAAAGAUGCAAAAUUACAAACACAUUUGAACUUUUACAUAGUCAACAAAAUUAAACUUUUGUGGCUGGCAAACAUCAUAAGCCAAUUGAAAUUAUGAGAGAGAGACCAAUUCAAUCCAAUUAACUUUGUGAGAUUUGGUCAAACUUGGAAAAUUCAAGGGCAACAUAGUUACUAUGCUUGAGAGUGACAUUGGAUCCCUUUGUUAAUUUCAAGCUUUUUUUUUUCUUUUUUUUUUUUUUUUUUUUUUUUUUUUUUUUUUUUUUUUGCAAUUUGAUGUGUUGUCUAAAGGAGCAAUAUUACAUUAUGACUCUAGACAUUUCAUGCAUAAUGCAUGCAACUAAAUAAUUAACUUAAUUAGUAACUUAAUUAGUAACUACUACUACAACAACAACAAAGUUUUAUUUUACUAAGUCGGGUUGGUAGU
RNAcentral lists this long non-coding RNA (65123 nucleotides) under Malus domestica (apple). RNAcentral's name for it is "long non-coding RNA (MDOM_LNC009650)". The record is from RNAcentral. Lineage: Eukaryota; Viridiplantae; Streptophyta; Magnoliopsida; Rosales; Rosaceae.